GUGGUCGGACCUCCACAUGCAGAGGAGAUCCCGUUCUUCUGCAGGUCAACUGCGCCUCCCGUGGACGGUCAUCUCCACUGGAGCCAUUGCAUCAUCCCACCUCCCAGCGCUCAGGCCGUUCGCCGCUGCCAAAUCCGGCUGUUCAACGAUGUAGCACCAGGAGGUCCAGCGCCUCAACCCCUCCGAAUCCCAUGUACUGACGCUCAUCUUCUGCUUCCUUCUUCAACCCGGUGAUGUCGAGUACAUGGUGCGCUGCCACCAGCUUGAUUCCACUUGGGCUUUGUCUGCCAUGUUUUUGUGCGUGUGUGCUAUGUGUCUUAUUUGUGUGGUGACUGAACUUGUGCCUCGGAUUAUUUUGAACUGCUGCUUCUACAUUUGUUCGGUCCAUUUAGUCUCUAUUUGACUUCUCUUACAUUGUAUCCUGUAGGGGUACAAAAGUUUUCCGAAACAUUGUUCCUGUUAAUGUCUAUAAGAGUUGUUGUUCAGCAGAUUUCUGGUCGUAGUCAGGUGGAGACAGGGUUUGGCUCUGUGUUAAGACGAGAGGUUGCCACACAAUAAAUUGAGAUUUGCAUGUGUACUUUGACAUUGGUUUUCUCCUAGAUUGUGUUUUUGAUUUUGUUUACGUGAGAAAACAAUCUGUAUUGUAGAAGUUCAUUUCUUAUUGCCCGAGAGUUCAUGUAUUACUACCAAAAAAUUGACAUUUCAGAACACCAAUAGGAAAAAACAGCCAGCAGAAGUCCGUUCAGCAGUGGCGAGGCCGUUCAGUGACGCGAACCAAGGUCGUUCACUGGAUCGGGGUCAUCCCGUCGAUCCCCUCUUCGGCGCGCGCUGCUCGGCCUCCCACCAUGCAAGUCCACCGCUCGUUGCGUGCUGCCACUGUCGGGGCCGGCGAGACCCACCCGCCCACCUCCUGUCCCCGCCUGUGGCCGCUUAUGAAGUCCAGCCUGACUAGCCUAUUCACUAUCCCUGGAUACUGCCAAGCUGCACCAACACUUUUAGUUCCUAUUCCUCUCAGACUCGGUGUGCUCUACGGACGGGGAGGCAUGGAGCUGUCGACUAGUAUGGGAGGCGAGCUGCUACUGCGGUGAGGAACCCCUUCUCAAUAUUUUUUUGGAAUUUUUGUGAGGACCAUUUGUGGGAGACGCUGGUGGUGUUAAUUUUCUUUACUCUCUCCGCAGUUUUAGGCGACCUGUGAAGUGGUUAGUGAGUAGAGUGGUCGCUGCAUCCUGGGAGUAUGAGCUCAAAUCUUGGUCCGGUCUUUGCUAUUUGAACACAUGAUAUUACUCACCAGUUCAAGUGUACCUGCAGAUGGGAGAGAGCUCUAUGAGAUUUUGCAAGAACAAGACCGCAAUUUUAUAAAUUUGCCACUUGUUUAAAUAUUGGAUUUGGAGAUGGGGAGGCAGUCCAGCACCCAGUUCGGUGCUCUGGGAGAAACUGAAGAGCUUCCUGGGUAUAAACAAGCAGAGAAGCUUCAAUUUCCUGUCCAUGGAGAAGCAUCAGAGUUUCGAGGGGAGGAGGAGCAGGGACAACCCUGGAAAGAAGAGGGUGAUAGCGCACCACCUCGCGGCAAGGACCGGCAAUAUCUGCCAUGUUCGACAAAUGGUGCAGUUGUUCCGUUUGCCUCAUUCAAUUUGGUCCAUAGACUGUUGCCAUUUGAUAUAAGUGACAAAGAACAACUUAAACAGAAGAAACUAUUGUUGUUGUUCAGUACAGAGUACUACCGAACAUCAAGCUCAAUCUUGCCCGCUUUGAUGCUAUGUACGAGUGGAUAAGAUAGACACUGUGUUUGAUGCUAUGGAACAAUGGAUAAGGUGGAUAAGGUGGCUAAUAAAAUUUUUGGGAGAUGGAUAAUAAAGGUGUGUGGUAGAAAACCACUCGUACACUUCUUUUAGGAAAAAAAGGGUACACAAAAAUUAUACUUUGUUCAUUGCAUAUACACGUACUCUGAUUCAAUUUGAUAUUUGGACUAUGGAUGUUUAUGGCCUUGAACUGAUGCCUGAUUUUGUUAAACAUAUGGAAAAUAAUGUGAGCAGUUGGAUAGCAGUACACCAGCGAAAAAUAUAUGGAUGUUCAUACUUGGUGCGGUUUGUGUAGUCCGAGUUGAACUAAAACCACGACACUUAUUUUGGAUCGGAGAGAAUAGUUUUUUGUUUGUACAAAAUAUACAUUCAGUAUAGAAAUUCAACAUUUAUUCUAUCAGCAGCAAAAUAGUUUGAGUCAUUCAUUUUUUCUGUAGAAAACUGAUGUACUACUCUCUUUGGCUUCAAGUGUGCCUUGGAAAAUAAAUACCCAGAAAAUACAGUUUAUGAAGUUCAUAUUGGAAUGACAGAGAAGGUCGAAGUAGAUAACAUUAAAAUACUCCAAUAGUAAAGUUUGCAUAAAAAUCUAGAACAUACAGUCUGCAAGUUCCAAGAAAGAUUGAUAAUAAAUCUAAGAACUUCGAAUUAAAAUAACAGAGCAGCUUGAUAUUUAUAAAACAAGGGAUUUUCCAUUCUAAAAAGUAAAACCAAAACAGAACAUACAAGAAACACAAUGAACUUCAAAUUUGGAUGUUUCUAGAAACAUGAUAAAAAGUCCGAUCUCCCGAUUAAAAAAACAAAAAAAAUCAUGUUAGCACAUGAAGUUCGAUUAUUAAAAAAUACAAAAGUUAAAAAAAUGCAAAAAAGAAGACACAAGAAGUUAAAGAAUAAAAAGAAUAAGAAGUUCAAUAUUUCUAAAUAGACUAAUUCAAAAUUCAUAAGAAAAAGAUUUUCAUGGUUUCAAAAUAAAAAAACUCUAGAAGUUCAAAUCUAAAAUAUUGGACCAAUUCAUAAAACUAGGAUUUUUUUCUUACUAAAAUAAAACCAAGAAGUCCAAAUUACAAAAAUAGAGAAGUUCGAUAUUUAUAAAACUCAAAUUGUCCUUCUGGCUAAAGAAAAAAAAUGAAGAAGUUCAAAUAAAAAUAAAGGAGUAGUUGGACGUACACGGAAAAUUCAAAUUCUUUCCGUUUAUAGGAAAACUAGAAAUAUCAAGUUCAAUUUUUUUAAAUGCUUGUUGCUUAUGUAAAACAUAUUUUUUCUAAAAAAAGACUAAAAAGUUCAAAUUAAAUUAACAAAGAAGUCUGAAGUAUAUAAAAAACUUAGAUAUUUCUCAUUAUUAAAGAAUAAACUAAAGAAGUUCAAAUAAAAAAAUAAACAACUAAUUUUUUUAAAAAGAUUUUCCCAUUUUUUUAAACUGGAAGUCCAAACCAAAACAACAAAGUGUUUCGAUGUUUAUUUAAAAAGCUAGGAUUUUAGCUUUUUUUUCUUUCAAAAACUCAAGUAUAUUCGUUGUUAUUAAAGAAUCAACAAUGAUGUUCAAAUUGAAAAAACAGUGAAAUUCAAUGUUUUUUGAAAAAUUGGAUUUUUCUAGUUACUAAAGAAUAAAACCAAUAAUUCAAUUUCAAAUACCGAAGAUGUUCGAUGUUUGUAAAAAACAUCCAAUUUUCAUAUUCCUAAAAAUACACAAUGAAGUUUAAAUAAAAAGGGUAGAGCGAUUCAAUGUCUAUAAAAACUCAGAUAUUUUCACGUAACCAAGAGAAAUUCAGAUUGAUAACUGCCAGAAGUUCACGUACUACACGGUGUGCAUUUUGUAUAAAAAAGAAUAAAAAGCAAAUGCUAAAAAUUUGUUGCUAGAAGUUCAAGUGCUUGGCCCGAGAAAGUUCAAAAAUUCUUGUGAGAGAGGUUGAACAAAAAUACGUGACAGAAGUUCAAGGUGAAAACAACGAAAAGUUCAACUGCUACACGGAAUGCGUUUCAGAUAAGAAUAUAAGAAUAGAAAACAAAAAGCUUAAAAGGUUUGUUGCAAGAAGUUUAUGCGCUCCUCCGUGCACGGUUCAGAAUUUAUAUUGCGGGACAUCCGACCUCCUAUUACAUGUUUGAAAAUGGCAAAAAAAUGACGUCUGGCCUUCAAUUGCGUGUAAUUCGACAUAUACACAAAAAUGCGACAGAAGCUUAUAGUGAAAACAACGAGAAGUUCAAGUACUGCAAGGAAUUCAUUACAGGUGAGAAUAAAAGUAUAGAAAAAAUAAAAGCUUCAAAGGUUUGUUAAAAGAAGUUGAAGUCCUCUUUUCGGGGAAGUUAAAAAAUUCUUGCGAGAGACAUUCACCAUAUAUUCAUGUUCGAAAACACAAAAAAGAAAUUGUUUUUUUUUGCGUUUUAAAAUAAUUCUCUCAAUCUACAAAGAAGUUCAGUUAUUAUUGAGGAGAAAUUUGAUUUCAAAAAGAAAAUAAAAAAUCAAAUUAUAAAAACGGAAAAAGUUCAUGUACUACAUGGUGUGUGUUUAAUAUGAGAAAAAUGAAUAAAAAGGCAAGGUUUGCCUCGUUAUUAAAAAAUGGAAACAAGAAGUUCAAAACUUAAAUAACAAAGACGGUCAACUUUUAAUAAUAGAGCGCUUCAAAAAUUCAUAAAAAAGAUUAAGAAAUAAACCAGGAAGUCCAUAUUAAAAAGAUGGCGAAGUUCGAUGAUCAUAGAAAACUCAGAUUUUCCUCGUUAUGAAAGAAUGGAAACAAGAAGUUCAACUUUUAAUAAUAGAGCGCUUCAAUAUUUCAUAAAAAAGAUUAAGAAAUAAAACCAGGAAGUCCAUAUUAAAAAGAUGUAGAAGUUCGAUGAUUAUAGAAANNNNNNNNNNNNNNNNNNNNNNNNNNNNNNNNNNNNNNNNNNNNNNNNNNNNNNNNNNNNNNNNNNNNNNNNNNNNNNNNNNNNNNNNNNNNNNNNNNNNNNNNNNNNNNNNNNNNNNNNNNNNNNNNNNNNNNNNNNNNNNNNNNNNNNNNNNNNNNNNNNNNNNNNNNNNNNNNNNNNNNNNNNNNNNNNNNNNNNNNNNNNNNNNNNNNNNNNNNNNNNNNNNNNNNNNNNNNNNNNNNNNAAAACCAGGAAGUCCAUAUUAAAAAGAUGGAGAAGUUCGAUGAUUAUAGAAAACUCAGAUUUUCCUCAUUAUUAAAUAAUGGAAACAAGAAGUUAAAAAAACAAGAAGUUCAACUUUUAAAAAUAUAACGCUUCAAAAUUUCAUAAAAAAGGAUUAAGAAGUAAAAUCAGGAAGUCCAUAUUAAAAAGAUGGAGAAGUUCAAUGAUUAUAGAAAACUCAGAUUUUCCUUGUUAUUAAAGAAUGAAAGCAAGAAGUUCAAAAAUAAAAUAAUAAGAAGUUCAACAAUUAAAAAUAGAGCACUUCAAAAUUCAUAAAAAAUGAUUAAGAAAAACCAAAUUAAAAAUUCAUAAAAAACUUAAAUAUUUUCACGUAACCGAGAGUGGUCCAGGUUGAUAACUGCCAGAAGUUCAUGUACUACACGGUGUGCAUUUUUUAAUUGAAAAAAGAAUAAAAAAUCAAAGGCUAAAAGUUUUGUUGUUAUAAGUUCAAGCACUUCGUCGAAGAAAGUUAAAAAAAUUAUUAUGAGAGAGAUUUGUACAAAAGGAAUAUUAUUUGUGUAACACUUACGAUGGAUGAGAAAAUUACAAACGAAAAUACGUCACAGAAGUUCAACUGAAAACAGUAGGAAGUUCAAUUACUACAGUGGAUGAAUUUCAGAUAAAAACUUUUAAAAUUGUCGCGAAUAUGAAAAAACGAUCAACACGGGAAAGUUAAGUGCUUACAACAGCUUUCCACCGGUAUAUCACUUGCUCAAUUCCGUGAGUGGAUGGAGAGUUACGAGCAGUGGAUGGAGACCUACGAGAAAAAAAAUCACGUGAAAACAGAGUGAAGUUUAGGUACACGUGCCGAGAAGUUCAGAUUCUUCACGCGGUGCAUUUCUGAAGAAAUCUGUUUCGCGAUAUAGGCAGAACGAAUGAUCCCGCCAUUUUCGAAAUUACUUGAAAACGGCUAGGAAUCAGAGAAAACCAUCGACAUGAAAAAGUUUCGCAAUUUCCGUAGCUUUUCAACGAUAUAUUAUUUGCCUCAUUCCGAUAAAGUUUGUAGAAAUUACGGCAAAAAUAUGUUUUUGCCAUUUUCGAAACUGACUUAAAACCGUAAAGAAUUGGGAGAAACAAUACAUACCAAAAAGUUUCGCAUUUGUUCAAGCUUUCCAACUCCAUAUCAUUUGCUGCACUCGGACGCACAGUUAAAAAAUUAGCUCGAAAAUACAAACUCGGUAGGACUUGGACCAUUUUCUAAAUUACUCUUAAACCAUUCAAAAUUAGAAAAAAAACUUUCAAGAUGAAAAAGUAGCGCAUUUUCAUAAGUUUUCCAACGCCAUAUCAUAUGCCUCCAUUGGAUUAGCCCUUUAGAAAUGACAUCGAAAAAACGAACUCAGCUGUUCGGUUUACAAAAUUUUACAUUUUUUCAAAUUACUCUUUAACCAUAGGGAAUUAGAGAAAACUUUCAACAUGUGGAAGGAGCGGUUUUGCAGCAUCUUUCAACGCCAUAUUAUAUGCCUCAUUCCGAUAAACGGUUUAGAAAUGUGAUCGAAAAUACGAUUCACGUUUUUUGUGCGAAGAAAAAAUGGUUUUCAAAACUGCUCUUAAACCGCUUAUAUUUUGCCAAAAAUUUAAGUUGGGUCAUGAUAUUGGUGUCCAUAGCUUUCCAACGGUAUAUCGCAAGCCCCAUUUGGGCAAUGUUGGCGAAAGUUCAACCUAGUUCACACGGAAGUUCAACGUACUACUAGCGGGCAGGUCAGGUUGUGAUCAGAAUAUUAUUCUAAUCCCGUGAUCAGAAUAGUGUUUAUGUAUAGGGUCACGCUAUUCGUCACCCUGGGUAAGGAAUAGUUAUUCUUCACCCCCCUCUAUUUUACCAUCAAUGCACCAUAAUUUUACGUUCCGUAAGUUUUUUAUUUUUUUCUAACGCAAAAAGAGACCAUAAGAAAAUAUAUAAUCGCCGUAAAAAAUACUUUAUGUUAUGUAAAAUUACAAACGUAAAAACAUAGUCUAAACUACACAUAAAAUGCAAAUUUUCUUGUCUUAUGACCUAUAUUUUUAUUUUCUUAUGUCAAAUUUUACGUAGUGAAUCAAUAGGAAUGUAACUAUUUGAAUUCCAAAUGUAAUUUAAUUAUGAAAUGAUCAUAAGAUUACCUCGGAUGAAGAAUAACUUAUUCUGCACCCUGAAUGAUGAAUAGUAACACUAUAUAUAUGAGAGGGAGGGGCGCCAUAGACACACCAUGAUUCCCUAGUCGUGUGCGGCGCCGCUCUCCCUCUAGUUCAUCAUCGGACAUAUUUUUGUAGUGCUCGACGCAGCCCUGCGAAGAUAGUUGCAUCACCACCAUCACCAUGCCGUCGUGCUGCCGGAACUCAUCUACUACUUCUCCCGUCUUUCUGGAUCAAGAAGGCGAGGACGUCAUCGAGCUGAACGUGUGUUGAACGCGGAGGUGUCAUAUGUUCGGUACUUGAUCGGGCGGAUCGUGAAGGUGUACGACUACAUCAACCGCGUUGAUAAACGCUUCCGCUUAAUGGUCUACGGGGGUACGUAGACACACUCUCCCCUCUUGUAGCUAUGCAUCUCCAUGGAUAGAUCUUGCAGGUGCGUAGACAAUUUUUGUUUUCCAUGCAACGUUCCCCAAUAGUGGCAUCAUGAGCCAAGUCUAUGCGUAGAUGAUAUGCACAAGUAGAACACAAAGGAAUUGUGGGCGGUGAUGUUCAUACUUCUUACCACCAACGUCUUAUUUUUAUUCGACGGCAUUGUGGGAUGAAGCGGCCCAAACCAACCUUACAUGUCCACGUACAUGAGACCGGUUCCACCGACUGACAUGCAACUUGUUUUGCAUAAAGGUGGCUGGCGGGUAUCUGUUUCUCGUAGUAUAGUUGAAUCAAAUUUGACUACUGCCGGUCCUUGAAGAAGGUUAAAACAACAAACUUGAUAAAUCACCGUUGUGAUUUUUGCGUAGGUAAGAACGGUUCUUGCUAGUUGCCCAUAGCAGCCACGUAAAACUUGCAACAACAAAGUAGAGGACGUCUAACUUGUUUUUGCAGGGUAUGUUGUGAUGUGAUAUGGUCAAGAUGUGAUGUGAUAUACGUUAUUGUAUGAGAUGAUCAUGUUUGGUAAUAUCGACAACCGACAGGAGCCUUAGGGUUGUCUCUUAAUUAUUGUAUGAAAUACAAGCGCCAUGUAAUUGCUUUACUUUAUCGCUAUGCGUUAGCAAUAGUUGUAGAAGCAAUAGUUGGCGAGACGACCCCGACGCAACGGUGGAGAUCAAGGUGUCGAGCCGGUGAUGAUGGAGAUCAUGAAAAUGCUUUGGAGAUGAAGAUCAAAAGCACAAGAUGAUGAUGGCCAUGUCAUGUCACAUUUUUUGAUUGCAUGUGAUGUUUAUCCUUUAUGCAUCUUAUUUUGCUUAGAACGACAGUAGCAUUAUAAGGUAAUCCCUUCACUAAAUUUCAAGAUGAAAGUGUUUUCCCGAGUAUGCACCUUUGCUAAAGUUCUUCGUUUUGAAGCACCUCGUGAUGAUAGGGUGUGAUAGACUCUAUGCUCACAUACAACGGGUGUAAGCCGGUUUUACACAAGAAGAAUACUUGGGUUAAACUUGACGAGCCUAGCAUGUACAAACAUGGUCUUGGAACACUAGCGACCGAAAGGUUGAACAUGAGUCAUAUAGUAGAUAUGAUCAACAUAGAGAUGUUCACCAUUGAUGACUACCCCAUCUCACAUGAUGAUCGGACAUGGGUUAAUUGAUUUGGAUCAUGUAGCACUUAGAUAACUUGAGGGAUGUUAAUUUAAGUGGGAGUUCAUUAGUAAUUUGAUCAAUUGAACUUAAUUUAUCAUGAACUUAGUCUUAAUAGUUUUUGCAUAUCUAUGUUGUAGACUAAUGGCCCGUGCUACCGUUCCCCUGAAUUUUAAUGCGUUCCUAGAGAAAGCUAGGUUGAAAGAUGAUGGUACCAACUACACGGACUGGGUCCAUAACUUGAGGAUUAUCCUCAUUGCUGCACAAAAGAAUUAUGUCCUUGAUGCACUGCUAGGUGACAAACCUGCUGCAGGAGCUAUUGCAGAUGUUAUGAACGUCUGGCAGGCUCGAUCUGAUGACUACUCAAUAGUUCAGUGUGCCAUGCUUUACGGCUUAGAACCAGGACUUCAAAAAUGUUUUGAACGCCACAUAGCAUAUGAUAUGUUCCAAGAGCUGAAGUUGAUAUUUCAAGCUAAUGCAUGGGUUGAGAGAUAGAGAAGAAGCCAUCUAGCUACUAGCUAUGGACCCGUAGGUCUGUGGUAAACUACUCACACAUCAUAGGAGGGGCAGUAAGGUUGAUGUAGAAGCCUCCAUGACCGAAUCCCCCUCCGGCAGAGUGCCAGAAAAGGCCCCAAGAUGGGAUCUCAUGAUAACAUAAGCUCCCGGCGGCGGAAAAGUAUUUUUGGUUUGCCCUCUGGUAUAUGGGGAAGAUUUGGGUAUUUAUGGAGCUGAGAUUAGGGUUAGAGGUGCCAUGAUGGGCCCACAAGCUCAUAGGGCGCCCCCCUAGGGCGCGCCUAGUGAGCUUGUGACCCAUUUGUGGCUCUUUCGGCCUCCUCCUGAAGCUUCCUAGGUGUCUUCUGGUCCAAGAAAAAUCGUCAAAUGGUUUUGUUCCGUUUGGUAUUGAUUUUCUGUAAAAGUCAAAAAACAAGGAAAAAACAGCAAUUGGCACUAGGCACUAGAUUAAUAGGUUAGUCCCAAAACUGGUAUAAAAUAGCAUAAUAAUUCAUAUAAACCAUCCAUGAUGGAUAAUAUAAUAGCAUGGAACAAUCAAAAAUUAUAGAUGUGUUGGAGACGUAUCACCCCCCUUCCCUUGUGGGGGGCGAAUUGGACUAGGGGAGGGAGUAGGACUCCUCCCCUAGGCCGGCGCACCAAGGGGGCACUUUCCCCAUUUGGUGGCUGCCCUCUCCCUCCUCUCUAACAUAUAUAUACUAGAGGAUUUACAACCUAUGUGGACACAAGUUUUGGAGCCUCCUCUAGUUGAUCUAGUUCCAGUUCUUGUUGGUCCUAGUUGAUUAAUUAGAGCUAACCCUAGCCACCUCUAAUCCUCAUAAUUAGAAACACCAUGUGGUUCCACUACAAAAAAAUACACUUCCGUGAUGAUACGUGUUUGUCACAGUAGGUCACGUUUUUUUGUCAUGCAUGUACAUCCAUGACGAUUUUAUGACAGAAUCAAGAUACUCAUACAUGUGUUGUCGUAGAAGUGUUCCAUGACAUUACCAAAAUUAUCAUCACGGAAGUGUCCACUUCCAUGACGAUAAAUGGUGCGUCAUGAAGUGUUUUCGUCAAGGGUAACCGACAUGUGGCAUCCACCGUGAUAGGUUACCGUUAAGCUACAGGGUCCGGUUUUGGAUCCAAUAACUCGUUAAUAGCCCGGACCGAUCGGAAUUUUCCACGUGUAAAAUUCUCAUUGGCCAGAGGAAACACGUGUUGGCUCACUGUUGGGACAGAUGUCAUCCACUCAUUAGACAGGAGGCGCCUAUGAUACAUCAACACAUGGCACGGCCCAACAGAGGCCCAUUCUGGUUAAAAGGCUGGCCCGUUUGACUUGGUCAAAAAGUAACGGGUCAGCCCACGGAAAGCCUGUUAACGGCAUGUUCGUAUAUAGCCCAUUUACGGCCCGCUAACUCCCGACCCGUUAAUUAAAGCCAAGUAGCUUCAUCUGGCCAUCCAAUAUGAUUCCAGCCCGUUGUAACUUCAGGCCCAUGUAUGGCCCAUGAUGUCUUUCGGCCCAUAUGAGGCCCUUUGUAACUCUGGGCCCAUUAAAGGCCCAAGAUGAAACAGACCGAUAAUGAAUAGGCAUCACUUUAUACCCAUUAAUGGCCCAUUAUUCCGUCGGCCGUUUCCAGCCCAUGUUAACUUUCGUCCUUCUAAGGGCCCAUUUAUCCUUGGGCUCAUUUCUAGAAUUUGGUUAGUUAUGGUGUGUUAUUGGCCUGUUCCGUUUGUGAGCCAAAUUCAGCCCGUGGUUACAUUCGGCCUGUUUGUGGCCCAUUAACCCGUUGGGCCGUUUUCAUAGCGUUAUCAACUACGCCUAUUAACGGCCUGUUAUGGUCCACGAAUAAUACAACCCAUGUUUGGCGAAAUGAUUAUACGCCCCGUAGAAGGCCCAUGGAUCCUAUGGCCCAUAGAAGGCCCAUGGAUAUAUGGCCCAUGGAAGGCCCAUGGAUCAUACGGCCCAUCGAAGGCCCAUGGAUCAUACGGCCCGUAGAAAGUCCAUGGAUCCUCUGGCCCGUAGAAGGCCCAUGGAUCCUAUGGCCCGCAGGAGGCCCAUGGUUACAACAGUCCGUGUGUUGCCAUGAUGAUUAUUGUGGCCUAGUUACAAAAAAUAAGUUAUUGUGGCCACUAGAAAAACGCGAAAAAAGAACUGCAGUGACUACAAGCAAACAACUAAACAAGACAAUAAGGAAAUAAAUAAGCAAGCAACUAACGCUAGCCUAUUACAGCUAUUACACAUAUUACAUCCACUGGGCAUCAAAGUUUGCCACCGGUGCAAAUAUAGGGAACAAAGCAGCAUAUUACAUACACUGGCCGUCAAAAUUGGCCACCAGUGCAAAUAAACACGGCAGCAAAACAAGUCCAUGACUGAAACAACUUCAGAAGAGCUCAAGAAACGUUAUCCUGGGUAUCCACCAUGCUGGCAAUAAGCUUAGCAAGCUUAUCAGCUUUGUCCUGUUUGGCGCUAAAAUCCGCCAACGCUUGCUAUUGCACCAGAAAGUAUGCAUCUAAAUGCUCCAGGGACUUCCGAAGUCCUUCCGCUUCUUGUCACAGCACAGCUGAUCGAUGUCUUUCAGCUUGUAGUUGAGACUCAAAAAACCAAACUGAUUCAGACAGUGAGUUUGAAUAUCUUAUGCAAGCGGUAGUGGCCAGUAACUCGAACAAUAAACCAAGACAGGACUUUGGGGUUGUCUCGCUGUCUUCAAGAAAGUUUUCCUUAGCUGUUUUAUCAGCUUUGUUGGAGACUAACAAGGAUGUCUAUCGAUCAUGAACCUUACCUGCAUUACUUCCUUUACCAUUGCUUAAUAAGGCACUCUUUCCCAAUAUUAUGUUAGCAUUCUAAAAGAAGAAACAAGUAGACACAUAAUAGGUUUAGCAUGUACUAGUAUAUGAAACUCAUUUUGGUGAACCAGUUCAUUAUUAAGGUGGAUAAGAUUAAACUACCAAGUCUUCUAUUGCCAAGUAGUACAUUAUAAAAGCAUCAAACAAACAUAUAUAUCUAUGUCCUAUGGUCACUGCAUUGUCUUGCCAAAUCAAAAUAGAGACAUAGUUCAAAUCAUACCAGUUCAAGACAAAGCAGCACAACAACAAGAUUUCAGAUGGGUACCACGGGUCUACAUGCACAACAACACUAUUGGCCCUGUUGUGAUACUAGUAAUGUGCAUGAUAUGAGAAGUCAACUGUAUACACAAUUAAAAUUGAAAUCAACAGAGCUAUUUAUAAGAGCAAACCUGUUAAAGAAACAUGCGUAAACAUACUUCUUGUGCCAUUGGAGUUUCCAUUGGAUCAUUCAAUUUAAAAAUAAGUUUGUAUGAGUACAUACAGUAAUACAAGAGCAAAGCAGUAUGCACGAUAGCAAUGGAAUCUUAAAUGAGAACAGUUGUUCUUUAGGUUUAAGCACUUGUUCUACAUGAACAGAGUACAGCAAGACGCAAGCAUAUAGUACUUAAAAUAAAAUGAGCUCAUAGACCUUACCACAUUUUUGGUUCGGAACUAGUAUAGAACAAGGCGUUCCCAGCCGUCGUCCAGUAAAUGUGUCUCAGGAGAACGUCAGGGAAUUUGCUGAGUUUCUUUGCCAGUGAAGUACGUUUUCUUCAGGUAAUUCCGAUACUGCCACUAAGCAUUCUUGAAGAUAGCAGAGGUAUUAGCACAGGUUACCUCAUCUCGAGUUUCCAAAUCGUUCUUUCUCUAUAGAUAAAAAUGGGAAAAUUUGUUGUAUUAUAACCAUCAUGGAGGUAGAAUGUAUGGGACAAAGCAAAGUAAUUGCCAUGAAUAACAUUACUUACACAUAACUCCUGGACAAACACCUGCAACUGGCAUUUUCCUUCAUUUUCAGUAUAAUAUUUCCAUGAUGGGAAGAUACGCACAUAGGAUUUAACAACAUCAAAUGUGAUAUAUGCUAAACUAUGAAUGGUUGGUUGUGCUUCCUCCACAGGAAUAGGUGUACUAACUGGUGGAGUUGGGGUUCGCCGUGGUAGUAUUGGCGCUUUGGGCACUGGAGAUGCCUUACUAACUGCUCUUGUUUGGGAUCUCUAUGGUGGAGAUGGUGAUGUGUCAACAGGAACUGGGUUACUAUCUGCUGGGGUUGGGGUUAGAUUGGGUGAAGUUGGUUCUCUGUCCAUCGCAGUAGGGGUAAAAUCUGUGAGAGUCUGGGUUAUGUGUGGUAAGGCUGGUUCUCAUGCAUGUACAUCUGAAGUGCUAUCUCCACCAAGAGGUAGCACUGUUUUAUUUGAAGACCGUGUUUUUACUCCUCUAGAUACUACCAUCACCCGCUCUAAUCCAAAUGGCUGAUAAACAGGAAACAUAGUUGAAUGUACAGACAUUGUAUGAGAGACAGAUGCAAUAGAUAGUGUUGAAAAAGAGGGCAUGAAAUAGUUGACAUGUAUAUUGUUUAACUAAAACGGACAACAUGACAUAAUUUCACAUAUAUGAUGUCUAUCUAAACUGGAUAGCCUAGCAUAACAUAAUUCAAAGAUAUGAGGACUAACUAAACAGGAUCGCAUGACAUAAUUCACAUGCAUGUUAUCUAAGUAAUCAGGAUCACAUGUUUUAAUUCACAUAUGUGAUUUAUAUGCGAAGCAGAGGGCAUUCGCAUAUAUGAUGUCUGAACUAAGAACAUGGUGUUGAAUAUUGUGUAUAUGAUGUUUAAACUAUGCAAUGCAAGACACCAUAUGCAUGAUAUGAGCAGUAUAACCGUGCCAAGUUAGAGCAUACACCUCGGUGGGGGAAUAGGACUGGUCAUCUGUCUCUGAAUCCAUCUCUAAGGAGCUAUCAGGACCCAGCAAGAGAUCUCCUUCGACAGGUAGCACUGUCUGCUUUGAAGGCCCUGUUUUCACUCCAGAUUUUUUUCCAUCACCCACUCAAAUGGCUGAUUCACAGGAAGAGUAGUUUAAUGUACACACAUUGUCGACAAAUGGAAAUGAAUGAAGAAAAGGAUGGGCAAGAUAUCAUUCAAAUAUAUGAUGCAUGGUUAAACAGGAUGGCAUUGCACAUUUCACAUAUAUUAUGGAUGGCUAAAAGACAUGAGACUGCAUAAUUCCCAUAUAUGAUAUUGAAACUAAACAGGUGGCAUUAUAGAACAUGUCUAAACUAAGCAGAUGACAUAUAUUAUGUCGAAAGUAGGCACUGCAAGGCAACAUAUGCAUGAUAUGACUAACAUCAUCAUGCCAAGUUAGAGCAAACACCUUGGUGGUAAAUAGGAGUGGUCAGCUGCAUCUGAAUCCGCCUCAGAACCGAUAUCUUCCUAUGGAUUACAAUCUGGAGAGGGGGGGGGGUUGCCAUUGAAUCCACCAUGGAGCAAUGUCUACAUGACAUUGUAUUGCCGCGCAAAACUCUUCUCUUUUUCUCUACAUGUUUAGCAUGACUGUGUACAAUAUCUGACAUGCAUACAAAAAAAUAUAGUGUGAUUAUGUAAGGAGAGCAUGCAUAAAUCUAGAGUAAUGGUAACAACCAGUGGAUGGAUCCAAAAAUAAUGAUAGCAGGCUGAUGAUUGCUUUAAUUUAAUAAAAAAAGAUGAUGAUUGCUUUACUAUUUGUUUCCCACCCAAUAUGAACAACAUAGGCGUACCCGAGGUGAACCACAUAUUAGACAAAGAUACUAUUCAUUGCUGCCUCGAUAGGUGCCCCACAACUAAUUUAGAACUCAAGUUUGAACAUCAAUUUGGACCCGACUUGGAGUCUAAGAGGUGAAUAGGACAAUAAUGUAGCAGGUAAUAUUAAGCAAUGCGUAACAGAAGCAGAAACAAAAGAGUGCGACCUCUCUUGUGGACCCGUGUACUCCUCAGGUUCAUCUGCUGAGUCGAUGAUGGUGGUGCCAUUGCGGUGGGUGCCAGCAGCAGGGAAGGAGAUAUGAGGCGGCGAAAGACGGUUGGGAGUCGGGAUGUCUGGUUUGGUGGAUGCUUCUGUCGAUGGAGCAGCUCGGGUGAGGUGGACGAUGCCACGGCAGGAGCAGGACAAACCACACAAAGUUUUCUUCAUCAUCUACCUGCAACUGAAGUAAUUCUGAAAGGGCUCAUUUGGCUUGCAUGAUUCUAAAAACGCAGGGAUAGGAAAAACACCGAAAUAGGAUAGGAAUGCACAUGGGAAACAAAGCAUUUGUGAACACAUGAUUUCUGUCAACUUGGGUGUUUGGUUCACAAGAAUUGGAGGAGUAGAGGAAUGCAAAGAAACAUGGCCAAAAUAAAGUGAAACCAUAUGAAAGCGUGUACAGUUCGAAUGUUAUUUUGCCACUAAUGCACUUGGUCUUGUUUUCAUGCAUAGGAUUUUGAAAAGUAGGUCCAUGUAGAUGUUUUUCUCCAUUCCUUUCAACAAAAUGCAUGAAUAAUUGAAUAGUAGAGUGCCAUAGGAAAAUUUCCUAUUGCUAUGUUUUUUCCGUUGAACCAAAAUUGCCCUAAUGGAUUGACAUGAAUGUAGAGUAAUAAGUGAUGCGACAAGUGUACAACCUCUUUACCGUAGCCGUGUUGACCUCAGCAUCAUUGGGUUGGUUGCUGAAGAAGUUGAGGUAGAGGUGGCUGUCGGAGGUGUGGGAAGAUCUGAGGAAUCUAUAGACGGCGUCCAGGGCACUGCUCUACUGUGAUGGAUCGUUCCAUCGUUGGAGAAGCUCUACUGAGCCGUAAGAUGUCGAGGCUGAAGUAGCACAAGACAGACAUCGUUAAUCUCAAGUGGGAUUCUAAUAGCAUCUCCUAUAAAUGAUGUAAAAUACAUUACCACCAAUAACCACCUGACUACAACAGAUGAGGUAAAAUUGUUGACUCUAAACUUAAUUGUCGAAACUGAAAUUUACUGUGGAAUUUGAAUGUUACUAUCGAAGCUGAAUGCAAUGGUAGCAGAGAGGCACUUCACAUGUAGUUUAGGGAGGGCAUGUAGUUCAUCUUCAACCUGCACCCCCCUAAUCCCCCAGCCACCACCGGCCGAACCACCGGCCCCCGCACCGCCUCGCCGCCCCAAAACAACUCCCCACCGUCGGUCCGCCACCACCUCGCCGUCCCGAAACAACUCCCCACCGCCGGUCCGCUACCGCCCCGGCCAGCCCUCUAGCCCCCCCUCGCGCCAAGCUUNNNNNNNNNNNNNNNNNNNNNNNNNNNNNNNNNNNNNNNNNNNNNNNNNNNNNNNNNNNNNNNNNNNNNNNNNNNNNNNNNNNNNNNNNNNNNNNNNNNNNNNNNNNNNNNNNNNNNNNNNNNNNNNNNNNNNNNNNNNNNNNNNNNNNNNNNNNNNNNNNNNNNNNNNNNNNNNNNNNNNNNNNNNNNNNNNNNNNNNNNNNNNNNNNNNNNNNNNNNNNNNNNNNNNNNNNNNNNNNNNNNNNNNNNNNNNNNNNNNNNNNNNNNNNNNNNNNNNNNNNNNNNNNNNNNNNNNNNNNNNNUAGCUAAAUUGGAGCGGAGCAGUAGCACGAGCGAGGGGGAGAGAAGUAGCAGCAGCGCGAGCGAGCGAGAGCUGGAGCAGCAGCAGUAGCCCAAGUGAGGGAGCGAGAGCCGGAGCAGCAGCAGCGCGAGCGAGCGAGAGCCGGAGCAGCAGCAGCAGAUCCGGCUGGUAUGGACGCUGCUGCCGAAGGGGCCUCGCACUGGGGGAGAGCCGUCGUGGAUAUGUCGGCUGCAGCGCUGGCUUCGAGGUAGCUGCUCCAUGGGGGUGCAAGGUGGAGCACCAUCAGCACCGGGAGGUCGAGUUAAGGAUAAGGUGCGAUGCGAUGAGUGUACAACCUCUUUGGUGGCGCCGAGUAGGCCUUGGCUUUGUUCGAGGAGUUGGUGAGGAUGAUGCGGUUCCGAUGGAGCGGGUUAAGGCGGCGCUGUGGGGAUGGAGCAGCCGCGAUAGAUGAGGUGAUCCUCAGAGCAGCUCCUUGGAGGUGGAGGACGGGGCGGCUGAACUGGCGGGACAACAAGAUGGACGACGGAUCCUCAUCUGGGGAGGUGGAUGAGGGACGUCGAGCUAUUGUGGCAGACGACAUCAUUGGGGAAGAGGCUCCGGCUGGGCAGCGGUGAGGUGGCGGACGGAGGAGCGUGGGGUUUUGCGGCUGGAGCUGAGAGGUUAUGGUGGCCUGGAAUUUCGAAUGGAGAAAAGGAGGCAAUGGGAGGGGGAAACCAUGACUUAGGGACGCGCUUGUCCAAAAUGUAGGGUGUGUUACAAAAGUACCCCCACCGAUUUGAACUAGCAGCCCUUUUGGCUCAGGGUUAGAAGUGGGAUUUCGUGUGUCGGGAUUUGGCAGCUGGAGGGAGUUUUCGCGCGGGUUAUAAUUUCGGGAUAGCAAGGCGUGGGUUGUGAAGGCACCAGUUUUGGGAGCACGAUAUCUGAAUUUUUGGUAUAUAACAAGGCACGGGUUGAAUUUUAGGGACAAGCCUAACGUGUAAUAUUGUACUUGUACGUACCAAAUCAAUUUGCACUCCCCUUAACGAAAAAAAUGAAAAAAAAAUAAAACUAUUCACACCACACAAAUAGAGAGUUUUGUCCCAUUUUACUAUACAAAUGUUAUUCAAAGCUAUGAAUCCAUGUUAUGUCCAAUUAAAUUUUUUCGAUGGCUAUAUAAUGCAUGUAACCUACUCAUACCAACAUUUUAGUGCAUUCCAAAUGUCUAUACUACUGCUGCAAUUCGAAAUAAAUUUGAAUUCCUUUCUCUAUUUCAAUAAGAAUCUACAAUCAUGAUUGUUGCCAACUUCAACCAUCAUUCAUGUAUUACCUUAACAACACACCACAUGAUUACUAUAGAGAUAGAUAUGAACUAUGUGUACUAGAUGAACUCGAAUUCAAUUUUUUGAAUACACUUGAUUUUGAUUCCAAAUAAUAGUACAUUUGAUGUGCUAACUAUAUAUUCAUAAUCUAAACCAUGUUCCAUACCCCCUACAUUAUGACAAGUAUUUAGACCCGAGCUGCAAAAGCCACACUUUAGCCCAAAUUAUAAUCAAUGUUCUAUAUAUUAUAUGUAGUACUAGCAAGAUGCCCAUGCAUUCCGCGGAACAUCAAGAUGAUCGAGGGGAGGCCUUAUUUGCAAAUAUGGAGAGGGGUGUGGGUAUCUUUUUUCAUAAUUGCCAUUGUUUCCUUCCUAUCCGUCAGAUAUAAAUCGGACGGCCUAUAUUGCAAGAUAGCAGGCACACCAUCAUCAACAACUUUGUUUUUUAUAAGAGUAGAGAUAAAAUAUAUUAUAUGUAGUAUAACAUGUUCAUAACAACACCAUGUGUAUCACCGUUAUAUAUAUUCACGUGCGCGUCGGUUUAAAACACUAUGAUAAAUUCUUCAAAUAUCUGAAUUCACUUUUUAUAAUGAAUUAUGGUCUGAAUUCGUCUUUUACACCCACACAAUCCUCUUAUCUUUGUAGAUAGCACUAACUUUCUCUCAUGCAUGCACACGCCUGCAUCCCUCUCACCCUCCCUCAGCAUUCUCUAGCUCCAUCACGCAAAUUCGUCUUUUCACUUUAGGUCAUUCACCCACGGUGUGUGUAGGCCCCCCAGCUCCUUCUUUACGGCACACAUCGAUCGAUAUGCUUCUCUAGCCAGGUGUGCCUACCACAAACACAAGCUUUCCCUCUUCUCUUCUCACCGUCCAUGCCUCACCCCACCCCUCUUUUCAUCGAUCUCGUACUCGCACACUCCUUUCCCCUCGAUAUAGUAUGCCUGUCGCACCACCUCCUAGAUGCAUCCCUCUCUCUCUCUCUAUCCUUCUCCCCAGGCCUUAUUUGCUUCUAACACAUACAUGCAUGUAUACCGAUCGAUCUCCCUACAUAUACCUAGAUCAACUUUAACUAUUUUCCCACCACCCAUCGAUCGACGUACCUCAUAAGUUAUGUCUCUCCUUUCUCUGACAAAGGACGAUUGAUCUUCCUAUGUAGUUACGUCUUCUUACCACAGCCAUAUCGUCCCCCCACAUCAUUCAUGCAUGCCUCCUGACUCGUCUCUCACACGCACAUGCACAGACAGGCAGCCAUCCCCUCUCUUAUUGAUAUUGUAGGCGUUCCAUCCGUUUGUCUAGCAAGCUUCUCCCACCAUUUGUUAGAAGCAACUCCACCACCACCCCCUCCAACACUCUAGCUCUGUCUCUCUCCCAACCUAAUUCCUCUCCUACACAUAUGCAUGGAUGUCGUUCGAUCUCCCUCAAUACAUAAGGUUGUCCUCUCUCCUCCUCCACACAUAUACCAGCCAUUGUACCUUUAUAGUUAAUUAGGUCUCCCCCACCCCCAACCACACAUUGAUAGCGCUGUAGGUAGGUAUACAUGCCACAAAGACAAACUGCACAUGUCCCCUCUCACGUUCCAGUAGGACAACCACCCUAUAUCUUUGACGUGGACACAUAAAAAUUCGAUGGCACUCUUUAUCGAUCGCAUGUGCGUUGAUAGCUCUCUGACUAUAGCGCCAGAAAAGCUCUUGUCUGCUAGGACUACAUCGGUAUUUCCCCAAAGAGGAAGGGAUGAUGCAGCACAUCGACGGUAGGUAUUUCCCUCAGUGAAGAAACCAUGGUUAUCGAACCAGUAGGAUAACCAAGCAACACAACAUAAAUAGCACCUACACACAAAUAACAACACCUCGCAACCCGACGUGUUAAAGGGGUUGUCAAUCCCUUUCGGGUAACAAUGCCAGAAAAUUGUAGUAGAUUGGAAUAAUAGAUCUCAAAUAAAAUAAAGUGCAGCAAGGUAUUUUUGUAUUUUUGGUUUAAUAUAUCUGAAUAAAAAUGCAAAGUAAAAGUAGAUCGCAAGCAAAUAUAUGAGGAAGAAGACUUGGGGGCCGUAGGUUUCACUAGUGGCUUCUCUCGAGAAAAGAUAGCAAACGGUGGGUAAACAAAUUACUGUUGGGCAAUUGAUAGAACCUCAAAUAAUUAUGAAGAUAUCCAGGCAAUGAUCAUUACAUAGGCAUCACGUCAAAGAUUAGUAGACCGACUCCUGCCUGCAUCUACUACUAUUACUCCACACAUCGACCGCUAUCCAGCAUGCAUCUAGUGUAUUAAGUUCAUGGAAAAACUGAGUAAUGCAAUAAGAACGAUGACAUGAUGUAGACAAGAUCCGUUUAUCUAUUGCAUAGAUAUAGAUCCCAUCUUUUUAUCUUUAGUAGCAACGAUACAUACAUAUCAGUUCCCUUUCUGUCACUGGGAUCAAGCACCGUAAGAUCGAACCCACUACCGGGCACCUCUUGCCAUUGCAAGACAAAUAGAUCAAGUUGGCCAAACAAAACCCAAAUAUCGGAGAAGAAAUAAGAGGCUAUAAGAGGUCAUGCAUAUAAGAUAUCAAAGAAACUCAAAUAACUUUCAUGGAUAUAAAAAAGAUAUGACUGAUCAUAAACUCAAAGUUCAUCAAAUCCCAACAAACACACCGCAAAAAUAGUUACAUCAUAUGAAUCUCCAAGAGACCAUUGUAUUGAGAAUCAAGAGAGAGAGAUGAAGCCAUAUAGCUACUAACUACGGACCUGAAGGUCUACAAAGAACUACUCAUGCAUCAUCGGAGAGGCACCAAUGGAGGUGGUGAACCCCAUCCGAGAUGGUGUCUAGAUUGGAUCUGGUGGUUCUGGACUCUCCGGCGGCUAUAUGAAUAUUUCGUUGACUUCCCUAGGGUUUUGGAAAUAUUUGGGUAUUUAUAUAGCAAAGAGGCGGUCCGGGGGGCACCCGAGGUGCGCACAACCCACCAGGACGCGCAUGGGCCUCCUGGCGCGCCCUGGUGGGUUGUCCCCUCCUUGGGACUCCCCCCAGGUGCAACCAGGGCCCAACAUGUUCCUUCUGGUCCAUAAAAAAUCUCCAUAAAGUUUCGUGGCAUUUGGACUCCGUCUGAUAUUGAUUUUCUGCGAUGUAAAAAAUACGGAAAAAACAUGAACUGGCACUUGGCACUAUGUCAAUAGGUUAGUACCAAAAAUGAUAUAAAAUGACUAUAAAAUUAUCAUAAAACAUCCAAGAUUGAUAAUAUAAUAGCAUGGAACAAUCAAAAAUUAUAGAUACCUUGGAGAUGUAUCAGGAUCCCCAAGCUUAACUCCUACUCGUCCUUGAGUAGGUAAGUGAUAAAAACAGAAUUUUCGAUGUGGAGUGAUGUUUAGCAUGUCAUAUCAUAUUAUUUUCUUUAUAGCAUGGAGAAUUGGACUUUUAUGUGAUUCAAAGCAAUAGUCUAGUGUUGACAUAAUAAUUUAGAUACUCAAGCAUAUCAACAAGCAACCAUGUCUUUCAAAAUAUCAAUGCUAAAAUAAGUUAUCCUUACAAAAUCAUAUAGUCUUGUCAUGCUCUGUCUUCUUAACACAAAGUAUUUAUCAUGCACAAUCCCGAUGACAAGCCGAGCAAUUGGUUCAUACUUUUUAACGUGCUUCAGCUUUUUCAACUCUUACGCAAUAGAUGAGCGCAAGCCAUGGAUAUAGCACUACGGGUGGAAUAGAGUAUGAUGAUAGGGGUAAAUAUAGAGAUGACAAAAAAGUAAGAAAGUCUCACAUUGAUGCGGCUAACCAACGGGCUAUGGAGAUGCCCAUCAAUCGAUAUCAACGUGAGGAGUAGGGAUUUCCAUGCAAUGAAUUCACUAAGAGCUAUAAGUGUAUGAACGCUCAAUAUGAAAACUAAGUGGGUGUGCAUCUAGUCCUAUAAUGAAAAAUUCCCACUAGUAUAUGAAAGUGACAACAUAGGAGACUCUCCAUAUGAAAAACAUGAUGCUACUUUGAAGCACAAGUGUGGUAAAGGAUACUAGCAAUGCCCCUUCUCUCUUUGUUUAUUAUUAUAUAUAUAUAUUUAUUAUUUUUCUUUCUCUUUUUUUCCUUUUUUUUCUUUCUUUCCUUUUUUUCUUUUUUUUUCUUUUCUUUUUCUCUCAUUGUCCGGAGUCUCAUCUCGACUUGUGGGGGAAUCAUAGUCUCCAUCAUCCUUUCCUCACUGGGGCACUGCUCUAAAAAUGAAUAAUGAUGAUCAUCACACUUCUAUUUACUUAUAACUCAAAAGAAAUAAAAAUUACAACUCGAUACCUACGACAAAAUAUGACUCUGUAUAAAUGCCUCUGGCAUGUACCAGGAUGUGCAAUGAUCUAGUGUAACAUGUAUGAAAAAUGAUGAACAGUGGCUGAGCCACAAACACUAUGUCAGCUAUAUGAUCAUGCAAAGCAAUAUGACAGUGAAUGCUUAAGUCAUAAAAUGGAAGCGGUGGAAGUUGCAUGGCAAUAUAUCUCGGAAUGGCCAUGGAAAAGCCAUAAUAGGUAGGAAUGGUGGCUGUUCUGAGGAAGAUAUAAUGAGGAUUAUGUGUGAUAGAGCGUAUCAUAUCACGGGGUUUGGAUGCACCUGCGAAGUUUGCACCACGUCUCAAUGUGAGAAAGGGAAAUGCACGGUACCGUAGAGUCUAGCAAAUUGUGAAAAGGUAAGAGUGUGUCUAAUCCAUGGACUCACAUUAGUCAUAAAGAACUCAUAUACUUAUUGCAAAAGUUUAUUAGCCCUCUAAGCAAAGUACUACUACGCAUGCCCCUAGGGGGAUAGAUUGGUAGGAAAAUACCAUCGCUCGUCCCCGACCGCCACUCAUAAGGAAGACAAUCAAAAAUAAAUCAUGCUCCAACAUCAUAGCAUAACGAGAGACUAUACGUGCAUGCUUCGGGAAUCACAAACUUUAACACCAAUAUUCCUACUAGAGCAUAAUUACUCAUCAAGAUAGCUCACAUAUCACAUCAUCAUAUCUCAAAACUAUUACUAAGAAUCAAGUUUGUUUUGUCCAAUAAUCUUCAUGACAUUUUUCUUUACUUUAUCCUUCUUGGAUAUCUAUCACUUUGGCAGUAAUUUUUUUAUGUUGCUUUUCAUAAGAUCAAAUAAAUACAGGUGAAGAUCAUGAGCAUAAUAUUUCUUUCUCUCAAAAUAACUUAAGUGAAGCAAGAGAGAAUUUCUUCAAAAUUUUACUAACUCAAAUAAAUCUAAGUGAAGCAAGAGAGCAUUUCUUCAAAAAUACUAAGCACAAUGUGCUCAAAAAGAUAUAACUGAAGCACUAGAGCAAGUCCUAGCUCAUAAAAGAUUUAAGUGAAGCAUAGAGAGCAAUUCUAACAAGUUAUGAAAUAAUUUUGGCUCUCUCAAAUAGGUGUUUCUAGAAAGGAUUGAUGACCUAAAACACAAAAUAAAACAAGCAAAGACACAUAUCAUACAAGACGCUCCAAGCAAAACACAUAUCAUGUGAUGAAUAAAAAUAUAGUCUCGAGUAAAAUAAUGAUAGUUAUUGGAAGAAAGCGGGGAUGCCACUCGGGGGCAUCCCCAAGCUUAGUUGGUUGCUCAUUUUUGGAUAGUAGCUUGGGAUUCUGGGGCAUCCCCAAGCUUAGGCUCUUCCAUCCUUCCUUCAUCCAUCGUAAGAUAACCAAAAACUUGAAAACUUUAAUCACACAAAACUCAACAAAACCUUCAUGAGAUCCGUUAGUAUAAGAAUAAUAAACCCCUACUAUAAGUAUUGUAUCAAACCAAUUCAUAUUUUUUUCAUUAUAUCUACUGUAUUCCAACUUUUUAUGGUAAAAACUCAUCAAAGAAAACCAUAGAGCCAUCAAAAUAAGCAAACAACACAAAGAAAAAAGAAUCUGUCAAAACAGAACAGUUUGUAGCAAUCCGACUAUUUCGAACACUUCUAUAACUCCAAAAAUUCUGAAAAAUUAGGAAGGCCUGAGAAAUUUGUAUAUUGAUCUACUGCAAGUGGAAUGGGUAUUUUAUCGCUCUCUGGUAAAAAAUGAAAAUUAAUUUCGUGAGCAUAAAAGUUUUUGUUUUUUCAGCAAGAUCAAACAGCUAUUACCCAAGAAGAUCCUAAAGGCUUUACUUGGCAGAAACACUAUUUAAAACACAAAAAACACAAUCAUAACAGUAGCAUAAUUGUGCUAACACUCAAGAACAGAAAGCAAAAAGCAAAAAUAAAAUUUAUUCAUUGGGUUGCCUCCCAACAAGCACUAUAGUUUCACGCCCUUAGCUAGGCAUAAAAUCUUAUUGAUGCCCACAUGGAAGAUAAUAAUUGAAACACAAAGAGAGCAUCAUGAAACAUAUGACAAACACAUUUAAGUUUAACAUACUUCCUAUGCAUAGGAAUUUUAUAAGCAAACAAAUCAUCAAGACAAGAAACAUCUAACAUAUGCAAAGAAGACGAAUAAAAUAUUGACGAUCUCAACAUAACGAGAGGUAAUUUUGUAACAUGAAAAUUUCUAUAGCCAUAUUUUCCCCUCUCAUAAUAAUUAUAUGUAGGAUCAUAAUCAAAUUCAACAAUAUAAAUAUCACAUAAAAUAUUCUCUUCAUGAUCCACAUGCAAGCAAAGUUGACACUCUUCCAAAAUAGUGGGAUUAUCAUCAAAUAAAGUCAUGGCCACUCCAAGACCACUUUUAUCAAAAAUUUCAUAAGAUUCAACACUCUCCAAAUAUGUAGGAUUAUUUUUAGCUAAAGUUGACACUCUUCCAAACCCACUUUCAAUAUUAUUGCAAAAGUAUUCAUCAUGAGGCUUAAAUAAUUUUUCAAGAUCAUAAGAAGAAUCACCCCAAUCAUGAUCAUUGCAAAAAGUAGUAGACAUAGCAAAAUUAGCAUCCCAAGCUUGGGGUUUUGCAUAUUAUUAGCACAAUUGACAUCAAGAAUUUAUAGUAAAAUCAUUGCAAUCGUGCUUUUCAUUCAAGGAGCUAUCAUGAAUCACUUCAUAAAUUUCUUCAUCACAAUUUUCAGAUUAACGAGUCUCAAGCAAAACUUCAUAAAGAUAAUCUAGUGCACUCAACUCACUAGCAAUUGGUUCAACAUGAUUGGAUCUUUUAAAAAGAUUAGAAAGUGGAUGGGGAUCCAUAUCAAUAGAUUUUUAGCAAGCGAAGAUGCAAGCAUAUAGAAGGCACAUGGCAACACAAGCAAACAAAAGAUCUGACGAGAAAAAGGUAAACGAAAAAGGGGGCGAAUAAAACGGCAAAUUUUUGUGAAGUGGGGGAGAGGAAAACAAGUGACAAAUGGAAAAUAAUGUAAAUUGUGAGGAGAAGAGAUUUAUGAUUAGGAACUAGGUAUAUGUUGAAGAUUCUCCCCGGCAACGGCGCCAGAAAUUCCUUUUGAUUGCUCUUUGACUAUAGUGCCAGAAAAGCUCCUAUCUACUAGGACUACGUCGGUAUUUCCCCAAACAGGAAGAUGCAGCACAGUGACAGUAGGUAUUUCCCUCAAUGAAGAAACCAAGGUUAUUGAACCAGUAGGAGAACCAAGCAACACAACAUAAACAGCACAUGCACACAACUAACAACACCUCGCAAGCCGACGUGUUAAAGGAGUUGUCAAUCCCUUACGGGUAACGACGCCAGAAAAUUGUAGUAGAUUGGAAUAAUAGAUCUCAAAUAAAAUAAAGUGCAGCAAGGUAUUUUUGUAUUUUUGGUUUAAUAGAUCUGAAUAAAAAAUACAAAGGAAAAGUAGAUCGCAAGCAAAUAUAUGAGGAAGAAGACCCGGGGGGCGUAUGUUUCACUAGUGGCUUCUCUCGAGAAAAGAUAGUGAACGGUGGGUAAAAAAAUUACUAUUGGUAAAUUGAUAGAACCUCAAAUGAUUAUGAUGACAUCCAGGCAAUGAUCAUUACAUAGGCAUCACGUCCAAAAUUAGUAGACUGACUCCUGCCUACAUCUACUACUAUUACUCCACACAUCGACCGCUAUCCAGCAUGCAUCUAGUGUAUUAAGUUCAUGGAAAAACAGAGUAAUGCAAUAAGAACAAUGACAUGUUGUAGACAAGAUCCAUUUAUCUAUUGCGUAGAUAUAGAUCACAUCUUUUUAUCUUUAGUAGCAAUGAUACAUACGUGUCAGUUCCCUUUCUGUCACUGGGAUCAAGCACCGUAAGAUCGAACCCACUACCGGGCACCUCUUCCCAUUGUAAGAUUAAUAGAUCAAGUUGGCCAAAGAAAACCCAAAUAUCGGAUAAGAAAUACAAGGAUAUAAGAGAUCAUGCAUAUAAGAGAUCAAAGAAACUCAAAUAACUUUCAUGGAUAUAAAAAGAUAUGACUGAUCAUAAACUCAAAGUUCAUCAGAUCCCAACAAACACACCGCAAAAAGAGUUACAUCAUAUGGAUCUCCAAGAGACCAUUGUAUUGAGAAUCAAGAGAGAGAGAUGAAGCCAUCUAGCUACUAACUACGGACCCGAAGGUCUACAAAGAACUACUCACGCAUCAUCGGAGAGGCACCAAUGGAGGUGGUGAACCCCAUCCGAGAUGGUGUCUAGAUUGGAUCUAGUGGUUCUAGACUCUGCGGCAGUUGGAUGAAUAUUUCCUCGACUCCCCUAGGGUUUUGGGAAUAUUUGGGUAUUUAUAGAGCAAAGAGGCGGUCUUGGGAGCACCUGAGGUGGGCACAACCCACCAGGGCGCGCCUGGGCCUCCUGGCACGCCCUGGUGGGUUGUCCCCUCCUUGGGACUCCCCCAAGUGCAACCAGGGCCCAACAUGUUCCUUCUGGUCCAUCAAAAAUCUCCGUAAAGUUUCGUGGCAUUUGGACUCCGUCUGAUAUUGAUUUUCUGCGAUGUAAAAAUCACGGAAAAAACAGGAACUGGCACUUGGCACUAUGUCAAUAGGUUAGUACCAAAAAAUGAUAUAAGAUGACUACAAAAUGAUUAUAAAACAUCCAAGAUUGAUAAUAUAACAGCUUGGAACUAUCAAAAAUUAUAGAUACGUUGGAGGCAUAUCAUGCGCGCACACACACACACAUCUUCCCUCUCUUCGAUUCUAUGGAUAUCUCAAGCCGAUGAUACGUCCGCUCUCUUCUCGUGGAUCACCCCCUCUACAUAUAUGAUAUAUCCAGGACUCUAUUUCACACACAUUGCAUAUGUUACAUUUUUUGAUUGAAAUAUCAUCCAUAUAUAUUGCUUGUCUAUUUCUCAACCCCUCCCAAAAAAGCACUCAUGAACCAUCACACUAUAUCUCUCUAUGUUUGUAUCUCUCUCACACAACCCCACAUAGGUGGUGUACAUACACGAAGAGAAUAGGUGCAGGUACUCAUGCUUUGUGCCCAGCCACACCCGCGCGGGUACACAGCGGAGCUCAUUUCUGUAUGAAAUGGCAGCCCACGUGCUAAUUUGAACAUGUGUAGCGGUUGUUUACCUACGGAGGUCGUGUACCACGUGUGCACGAAACAAAGUUCGACUUGAUGCUUUGGUGCGUUAUUUUUAAAUAAAUUUAUAUUGCUCAAUGGCACGUACACGGAAUAUAAAACGAUUUUUAUGGAGAAAAAGGUAGUCUGCUCCACUAUAUACAAUGGAGUCUGCCUGCCUGGGUUUGUCUCUCUUCAAAGUAUCUCACACAAAGCGGCGGUGUCCUCUCUCUCUCACCGUUGGUCACUGAUCCGGCCGCAUCCCAUCCGCCGGUGGAAAGGGAGGAUGUGCAUCGUUUCUCUGUUCGACGGCACCGAGGCAGCACGUCCCGAUCUGCGGUACCCGCUGUUCUCUCUGACCAAGCUUCGGCGCGGUAGGGCCUACGCCACCUGCUCGCUGCCGCAGUAUGGGCAGAUCCCACCCGCCGCCGCUCACCUAGUUACAUCCCGACGACCCCCAGGUAACCCCUCCGGCCUUGCUCCACUGCCCGUCUUCCCACGUCACUGCAUGUGGAUCUUCCAUAGUUCUUUGCCCAAAACGUAGCUCGUCUAGCGUACUUUCCAUAUUGCAAUCUCAUCCUCACACCGUUUUAGACAAACACAACCGUGUUGUUUUCUUCCCUUAGGACAUGGAAUAUGCUUCUUUUUUGUCGCCGUAUGUGUCAUCAACUGUUAUUGGCCAGUAAUUGUUUCCUUUCUACCUCUUUUUCACAAACAGGGCUAUCCAUUUCACCUCGUUGCUAUUGCGACCUUUUGGUGAACUGCACAAAUCACUUUUUUCUUAAGAGUAUUUUGUGUAGUUGUACUAAAAUGUCACACGGGCAACGUCUCUACAUUUCAGUGCGAAUGCACAAAGGGAGAUUGGUUUUGCUCUAUCCUCCUCAUCCAACUCCGAGCCUAAUCUUCUCCAACUAUUUGCUUAAUCUUCUCCAACUAGUUAGUCUUAAGAGAGACUGCAAAGGUGACCGGCUUCUAUUUGUGUGUUUAUUGUUUCAUCAGUAGUCCUCUAUUAUUGUAAUCACACUUAAUAUCUUUGGAACAGGGACGCUCAGCUCUAUUUUAGUGGAACUGCACAAAAUGAUCAGAAUGUUGCAUGCUCCAAACAGCUACUUUUUUCCCAACAUGCCUUGUUGAUUUAGACAGAGCUGGGGGGACAUUGCUGCCAAUGAAAGCAUCAAUUUUAAUUUAACACCUUCUCUCAACUUUGUCUUCAGUUGUGAUGUAAAUAUUAGCUCUGAUCUGCUAAUCAUUGAGAUGCAUUAGCAAGGAAGUUAGUUUUUUAUUGUUUCCGAAAGAGCAUGGACGACAAGACACACGAAACAAAAGUUGAAAGCUCAGAGCAUUGUACAAUUUCAUGUCGCUGGAAAAUUAUUUGCAUAGUAUGUCAAUUAUGUAAACAAAUGUUCGAAGCUUGAUAGCAUUGCCAAAAGCCUCUUCAGCAUCCGGGUCCAUGUGCCAUGCACAAAAUUAUACUUCCUCCGUUCCUAAAUAUUUUAGAGUGUAGAAACUUCAAAUGGACAUAUUUUAGAGGGUAGAUUCACUCAUUUUGCUUUGUAUGUAGUCACUCAUUGAAAUCUCUAGAAAUACAAAUACUCUAGAGUAUAUUUAAGAACGAAGGGAGUAGUGCACAACCGCAUGGGAGACUCAGCCCGGUCGUUGCGCCGCACUAAUAGUGAGCAAUGAGCAGUCAAAUCAUAAGCCCCACCUUUCCCACUGUAAGUUGCUCGGAAGAAGCAACCAUCAAUAUGCUCUUCUUUGAAUCCGCUCAUACUACUCCAUCUGUCACUAUUUAUAGAGCACGCUUAAAAAACAAUCUCUGGGACCAAGGCGACUAGCGAUUGGCCUGAAAAAUAGCAUUGGCAGUUAUAGCAGGGCGUCUAUUACUAGAGGAAAUAAUGUGUAUACACAUGCAUGCAGUGCUUCCACCCCGGUUACACACAUGCAUGCACUUACUCCACUCUGUAGUACAUCAAGAGAAAAUUGUGGACUUGAUUACGGUUGCCACGCCCUAAUUAAUUGAGCAUUAAACCAAACACGUCUAAAGUCUCUCUGGUGGUGGAAAUGCAUGGAGAGAAAUGCAUCAGAAUGAAGCACACCCUGUAAACUAUGACGGAGGGAGGAGUAGUAUGAAGGUGCAAAACCAAGUACGCGUAUGGCCAGUCGGUCAACACACUUCCUCUUGGCAUAUCAGUGACAUGUGGGCCGGAGUGUGAGCAAACCGAUCUCAAUUGACGGCAAAAUGGCCAACCCGCCGUUCCUUGAGAGAGACGAGAAGUGAGAACACACAGACGGGCAUGCACGGAGGCCAAGAUAUAUUCAAGCAUGGUUGAUCGAUAUCAUCAUUACAUGUUCAAUGUUUUGUAAUACUACUAUUGGGCUGCCGUUUUCUGCCCUUCUUCUGAAUAAAUGUGUACUUUAUCAGAGAUUAAAAUAAAUAAGAGUACAGAUGCUCCACCAUGCGGUUCUAGUAGUAGUACUACUCGUACUACUAAACCUUGCGCUUGGCUCUUCGCCUCUUCAUGAAGUCGAAAAAUGAAGGUACUCCGCAUGUUGGGUACUAUAGUGUAUGCCUCUGGUAACCUGACACCGAAUGAACUGCUGCAUGUCCAUCAUCUGGGCGAGGGUAGGUUGCAUUAGUAAAAAGGCGUAAGCGAGAUUCACCUUGUCCUGCAAGCUUCUCCUUGUUCUACGAGUUGACGGGACACACCAAAAAGUAGUGCUAGUCCAUACUCCCUCCUUUCCGGUUAAUAUGGAUUAAUCUUUUUUGUGGGUAAAUGAGAGAGCUUUAUUCAUAUAUAAGCAUUCUUAGGACGAUCAUCCAAGAGACUGGUCACUAGGAAGCAAGGUACCCCGCAAAAAAAGAAGAAGGAAGCAAGGUGUUUCAUCAAGCCAGCUCUCGGCCACAUUCAAAGUGCAGCAAGUACGGUUCACACAAAGAUGCGCCGCAAGGUUUGCUGACCUGUUUACAUGCUAAAUAACAAAAAAAGAAAAUAUUACCAAGUGCUCCUAUUUGUAACAGGAUAUGAGCCAGAAUUAAGCGAGAAUUGUGGCGAGUGUUCCAUGCAAUCAACUUCCAUUAUCACAUGUGAGAACCCUCGAAGAGAACCAAAUGUGUUGAAGAUUGCUUUAUCACAUUUUGAAAUAAAAUAAGAGUGCAGACGCUCCUCCAUCCGGUUCCUAGUAGUAGUACAUACCUCUAUAGUAGUAGUACUAGUACUAGUAAACUUUGCGCUUGGUUGUUCGCCUCUUUGGGAAGUCGAACAAUAAUACUACUAGUAUAGUGUAUGGUUCUGGCUACCUGACACCGAAUUAACUAUUGCACGUCCACCGCCUAAGCGAGGGAGAGCUUGCAUUAUUCAAAAGUUUCUCCUUCUCAUGUGAGCCACCGCACGCAAGCUUCUCCCGUCCUGCAAGCUUCUCCUCGUUCGGCAAGUUGACAAGGCACAACAAAGUAAUGCUAGUCCAUACUGCCUCCUUUUCGGUUAAUAUGGCUUAAUUUCAAACAAGAUAAAUACAUUGUUUGUCACCGUAUAUUUUUAAAAAUACAGUCAGUGGACUUCAUAAUACGCUCAUUGCGCUCAAUAUAUACAUUUUCUGGUGUUUAUAGGUCACUAGCUCACCCUGGCUGAGUAUGUGUGUGCAUACACGUGUAGGUUGAGCACUUGAGCGUGACCGUGUGUGUUCCAUCAUGUGCUCGGACAUGCAUGCAUUACAGCAUCGCGCGUGUUUUUGCGACCAUGUGUAUGUGUGACUAUUGCAUGCAUGCAUGAGGUUGUAGUCCCUCACAUUCACAUGUUCAUAAGUCAAUGCUUUGUCAAAAUGUUGCAUGCAAGGUUUAAUGAUUCAUUGUUCACGCAUGCAUUCCUGAUAUUAAUACAUUGGUAAAGACAAUUUCUUGAGGACCAAUAAGCCAGGACGGAGGGAGUACCAGUAGUGAACCGAAAGGAGGGAGUAGGUACUAGUAGUACUACGUAACAAGGUGCAGUAACAAAAUUCCACUAUGUGCAUCCUGUCUACGUGUCAUGCAAGAAAAUAGAGAUAAGUACAAGUGAGACUCAGGAAUGGUCAUACACGUAGGUGGAGUACGUGUAGGGGCCACUAAGGAGGAGUCAAAUCACACAGUAAGUUAGUCGGAAGUAGCAACCAUCAUUUCACUCUUCAAUGACACUUACGCAAUAUAAAAUGGUUGAUAUGGAGAGAAAAAGAAAAUCACUAUAUAUACACUAGCAGGAGCCUAAGCUACAAGCCUGCUUGCUUGGGUUGCUCUCUUCACAAGCAUAGAACGACGGUGGCCACACCGUUGGUCACAGAUCCGGCCUAAUCCCGCCGCUGGGAGAAGGGAACGAUGUUCUUCGUAGACGCGGUCGACAUCGACGAGGGAGAAAACCCACAGUCUGUGCGUCCCAAUCAGGGGUCCCCAUGGUAUGGGUUGAUGCCGCGUCCCAACCACCCUUCUAGAUACAGCCCGACGUCCCAGGUACAUCUUCCUUUUGGAGCCGGCUUGCUCCACUGCCACAGCUCCCCACGUAGCUCCAUCUCCAUGUCGAUCUAUCUCUACUUCCACCAGCUUCUAUUUGUGAUGAGUUUAUGUCUCAUGAACUAGUGCCAGUACUAUUAUUCUAAUCACACUUCUUCAAUAUCUUUGCCAUCAGGGAUGCUCAGCUCGAUUUUAGUGGAACUGUACAAAAGCAUCGUAUGAUCCAAGGGUGCCAGUCAUCUUUCGUUCGACAGGUUCUACCUAGCCAGGGAAUUAAAUCAUGUUUAGGGUUUAGGGUUUAAGUCGUAGUGACCCCAUCAGUAGUUUUCCUUUUGUACACGCUCUCACAACUUUUGUCUUUAGUUGUGAAGUAAAUAUUGGCUAUGAUCUAUGAAUCAUUGAGAUGCAUCAGCAUGCAUGUUAGUUUUCCUUUGUAUUUGAUGGAAUGUUGUAACGGGGCAACCUUGGAGUAGGAAUGAGAAUGGAGUGGAAAGUUUCCGUUUUUCUUGGAGAAAAAAUGGAAACGGAGAGAUAUCAAUGUUUCGUUUUGUUGGAUCACGCCAUCGAGCAAAACCAAUGUUUAAAUCACGCCUAUGGCGUUCGUGUCUCACCCUCCUCCACGGCUCCACCCCACACAGUCGCUCGGCAUGCCACUCACCGCAAACCGAGUAUACGAUAACUUUCCCGUCUGCUUGUCGAUGGAUCGCGCCUUGGAGUACUAGCACUACUGGAAGAGAUUGACGAGUUGGGGGAGGACAGCUAGUUGUAGCAUGGACUCCCAAGAACUUUUUACAUGCAUGUUGUGGUUGGCUAUUGCGACCUUUGAACGCGGAGCAGUCGCUGAUAUGUCUCCAAUGUAUCUAUAAUUUUUUUAUUGUUCCAUGCUGUUAUAUUAUCAAUCUUGGAUGUUUUAUAAUCAUUUUAUAGUCAUUUUAUAUCAUUUUUUGGUACUAACCUACUGACAUAGUGGCAAGUGCCAGUUGCUGUUUUUUCCAUGUUUUUUACAUUGCAAAAAAACAAAAUAAACGGAGUCCAAAUGCCACGAAACUUUACGGAGAAUUUGUAUGGGCCAGAAGGAACACAAUGGGCCCUGGCUGUGCCUGGGGGGUGCCUCGAGGGAGGCACAACCCACCAGGGCGCGCCAGGAGGCCCAGGCACGCCCUGGUGGGUUGUGCCCACCUUGGGUGCCCCCCAGACCGUCUCUUUGCUCUAUAAAUACCCCAAUAUUUCCAGAACCUUAGGGGAGUCGACGAAAUAUUCAUCCAUCCGCCGCAGAGUCCAGAACCACCAGAUCCAAUCUAGACACCAUCUCGGAUGGGGUUCACCACCUCCAUUGGUGCCUCUCCGAUGAUGCGUGAGUAGUUCUUUGUAGACCUUCGGGUCCGUAGUUAGUAGCUAGAUGGCUUCAUCUCUCUCUCUUGAUUCUCAAUACAAUUUUCUCUUGGAGAUCCAUAUGAUGUAACUCUUUUUGCGGUGUGUUUGUUGGGAUCUGAUGAACUUUGAGUUUAUGAUCAGUCAUAUCUUUUUAUAUCCAUGAAAGUUAUUUGAGUUUCUUUGAUCUCUUAUAUGCAUGAUCUCUUAUAGCCUUGUAUUUAUUAUCCGAUAUUUGGGUUUUCUUUGGCCAACUUGAUCUAGUAAUCUUACAAUGGGAAGAGGUGCCCAGUAGUGGGUUCGAUCUUACGGUGCUUGAUCCCAGUGACAGAAAGGGAACCAACACGUAUGUAUCAUUGCUACUAAAGAUAAAAAGAUGUGAUCUAUAUCUACGCAAUAGAUAAAUGGAUCUUGUCUACAACAUGUCAUCGUUCUUAUUGCAUUACUCUGUUUUUCCAUGAACUUAAUACACUAGAUGCAUGCACUUGUUAGGGAUGGGUUCAUACUAAGUACCACUAAAAAAUAGCCAAUAAUAUGUCCUAGGUUUUUUUAACUAGGGUUCAUACUAAUUGUAAUUAACUAACUAGCACUAAAAAUAGCCUAGGGUUCAUACUAACUAGCACUAAAUAGCUAGGGUUCAUACUAACAGAGAGAGAGAGAGCAGAGCAGAAAGCAGAGAAGAGGAGAGGGGAGAGUGCUUACAGAGGGCGGAGAGAGAGAUGGGGUCGGGGGAGACGGUGGCACCGAGGCGCGGUAAGGAGGAGUCGGGGAAGACGGUGGCAAGGUGGGGUCGGGGGAGAUGGCGGCGAGGCAGGGUCGAGGGAGACGGCGGCGAGGCGGGGUCGAGGGAGACGGCGGCGGAGAGAGAGGGCAGGGGCUCCGGCAAGGUCGAGGUCGAGGGGGAGGAGCACGGCGCACAGCAACAUCAAGGGCAGACUCCAACGAAGAGCGAGGGCAGGAGCUCCGGCGAGGGUGAGGGCAGGGGCUACGGCGGAGGCGACGAGGGGAGAAGAGAGAGUGGGGAAUUGGGGAGAAAGCAGAGGAGGGAAGCCCGCGUGGGGGUUAUGUCAAAAUAGCUUUAGCAGUAGCGUGGGAAUAGAAAACGCGCUGCUGCUAAAAUCCGUAGCAGUAGCGCGCUCCUCACAAACUCGCUACUGCUAAGCUGGGCCCGUCCCGUGGACAAGUUCAAACUUAGCAGUAGCGCCCUACCCUAAAAGCGUGCUACUACUAAUUUGAUAGCAGUAGCACGGUUUGUCGAAGGGUGCUACUACUAUACCUAGCAUGUCGGCAACAGUGUGGGAAUUAUAGUAGUAAUGUGUUUUAUUCUUGUCGCGCUACUGCUAAGUGGAUAGCAGUAGAGCCCUUUCUGACCACGCGCUACUGCUAAGUAGUAGUAGCGCCUCAUUUUAACAUGCGCUACUGGUAAGAUUCUGGGUAUAAGGUUUUUCCUAGUAGUGACCCCCUUUAUAAGUAGAUGGAAGCACAUGGUGUUGUUGCGCCCACUCUCCCCUGGAACUGUUUAUGCUUUUUAUUAAUCUAAUGCCGCUAGUAAAAUUAAGCAAUGCCACUCUCAGAAUUAACUACUGAAUCUUAGUUCAAAACUGCAACACUUGUUAGGGAUUGGCGGGAUUUCCAUUUUUGUGGUCGUAUGUUUCAUCCUCCUUUAUUGGCCAGUAAUUGAUUCCUUUUUCGCCUCUGUUAAAACAGAGAUAUCUAUUCAACUUGUCGCUAUAGCAAACUUAAAUGUCACACCGGCAACUUUGCUUGAUUUCAGUGCAACUGCACAAAACGAGAUUGGAUUUCCUAUUCGUGUUGGCAGAUUUGUAUUUUAUCUUGUCUGUCUCAUGAAAGGUCAGUACAUGCCUUCAUCCACAUGAUUGUUCAGUGUUCUUUGAGAUGUUGUGCUACUUGUAAUGGUAUUGUUUUAAAUAAAUGUUGAAUUGAAGCUAUUGAAUUGCUCUCUUUUCCCAUUAAGUAGUGAACAAAAAUGGGACCAACCCAGACAUGAUGCUUGUUGCUUUGCUACAACAAACUCUGCAUUACCCCGUUUAUAAGUAGAUGGAAGCACAUGGUGUUGUUGCACCCACUCUCCCCUGGAACUGUUUAUGCUUUUUGUUAAUCUAAUGCCUGUUGGAAAUAUGCCCUAGAGGCAAUAAUAAAAUGGUUAUUAUUAUAUUUCUUUGUUCAUGAUAAUUGUCUAUUGUUCAUGCUAUAAUUGUGUUAUCCGGAAAUUGUAAUACAUGUGUGAAUACAUAGACCACAACACGUCCCUAGUGAGCCUCUAGUUGACUAGCUCGUUGAUCAAAAGAUAGUCAUGGUUUCCUGACUAUGGAAAUUGGAUGUCAUUGAUAACGGGAUCACAUCAUUAGGAGAAUGAUGUGAUGGACAAGACCCAAUCCUAAGCAUAGCUCAAAGAUCGUGUAGUUCGUUUGCUGUAGCUUUUCCAAAUGUCAAGCAUCAUUUCCUUAGACCAUGAGAUUGUGCAACUCCCGGAUACCGUAGGAGUGCUUUGGGUGUGCCAAACGUCACAAGUAACUGGGUGACUAUAAAGGUACACUACAGGUAUCUCCGAAAGUGUCUGUUGGGUUGGCACAAAUCGAGACUGGGGUUUGUCACUCCGUAUGACGGAGAGGUAUCUCUGGGCCCACUCGGUAAUGCAUCAUCAUAAUGAGCUCAAGGUGACCAAGUGGUUGAUCAUGGGAUCAUGCAUUACGGUAUGAGUAAAGUGACUUGCCGGUAACGAGAUUGAACGAGGUAUUGGGAUACCGAUGAUCGAGUCUCAGGCAAGUAACAUACCGAUUGACAAAGGGAAUUGUAUACGGAUUGAUUGAAUCCUCGACAUCGUGGUUCAUCCGAUGAGAUCAUCGAGGAGCAUGUGGGAGCCAACAUGGGUAUCCAGAUCCCGCUGUUGGUUAUUGACCGGAGAGUCGUCUCGCAUGUCUGCGUGUCUCCUGAACCCGUAGGGUCUACACACUUAAGGUUCGGUGACGCUAGGGUUGUUGAGAUAUUAGUAUACGGUAACCCGAAAGUUGUUCGGCGUCCCGGAUGAGAUCCCGGACAUCACGAGGAUUUCCGGAAUGGUCCGGAGGUGAAGAUUUAUAUAUAGGAAGUCAAGUUUCGGCCAUCGGGAAAGUUUCGAGGGUAAUCGGUAUUGUACCGGGACCACCGGAAGGGUCCCGGGGAUCCACCGGGUGGGGCCACGUAUCCCGGAGGGCCCCAUGGGCUAAAGUGGGAGGGGAACCAGCCCCUAGUUGGCUGGUGCGCCCCCCUUGGGCCUCCCCCUGCGCCUAGGGUUGGAAACCCUAGGGGUGGGGGCGCCCCACUUGGCUUGGGGGGCAAGCCACCCCCUUGGCCGCCGCCCCCCCUUGGAGAUUGGAUCUCCUAGGGCCGGCGCCCCCCUUAGGGACCCAAUAUAUAGUGGGGGGGGGAGGGAGGGCAGCCGCACCCUAGCCCCUGGCCUCUCCCUCUCCCUCCCGUGACACCUCCUUCUCGCAGUGCUCGGCGAAGCCCUGCCGAGAUCACCGUUGCUUCCACCACCACGCCGUCGUGCUGCUGGAUCUUCAUCAACCUCUCCUUCCCCCAUUCUGGAUCAAGUUGGAGGAGACGUCUUCCCAACUGUACAUGUGUUAAACGCGGAGGUGUCGUCCAUUCGGCGCUAGGUCAUCGGUGAUUUGGAUCACGACGAGUACGACUCCAUCAACCCCGUUCUCUUGAACGCUUCCGCGUGCGAUCUACAAGGGUAUGUAGAUGCACUCCCCUCUCCCUCAUUGCUAGAUGAAUCCAUAGAUUGAUCUUGGUGAUGCGUAGAAAAUUUUAAAAUUCUGCUUCGUUCCCCAACAGUGGCAUCAUGAGCUAGGUCUAUGUGUAGUUUCUAUGCACGAGUAGAACACAAAGCAGUUGUGGGCGUGGAUAUUGUCAAUUUGCUUGCCGUUACUAGUCUUAUCUUGAUUCGGCGGCAUCCUGGGAUGAAGCGGCCCAGACCGACCUUACACGUAUGCUUAUGUGAGACUGGUUCCACCGAUUGACAUGCACUAGUUGCAUAAGGUGGCUGGCGGGUGUCUGUCUCUCCCACUUUAGUCAAAUCGGAUUCGAUGAAAAGGGUCCUUAUGAAGGGUAAAUAUAAAUUGGCAUAUCACGUUGUGGUUUUGGCGUAGGUAAGAAAUGUUCUUGCUAGAAACCUAUAGCAGCCACGUAAAAACUUGCAACAACAAUUAGAGGACGUCUAACUUGUUUUUGCAGCAUGUGCCGUGUGAUGUGAUAUGGCCAAAAGGAUGUGAUGAAUGAUAUAUGUGAUGUAUGAGAUUGAUCAUGUUCUUGUAAUAGGAAUCAUGACUUGCAUGUCGAUGAGUAUGACAAUUGGCAGGAGCCAUAGGAGUUGUCUUUAUUUAUUUAUGACCUGCGUGUCAACAUAAACGUCAUGUAAUUACUUUACUUUAUUGCUAAAGCAUUAGCCAUAGUAGUAGAAGUAAUAGAUAACGAGACAACUUCAAGAAGACACGAUGAUGGAGAUCAUGAUGAUGGAGAUCAUGGUGUCAUGCCGGUGACAACGAUGAUCAUGAAGCCCCAAAGAUGGAGAUCAAAAGGAGCAAAUGAUAUUGGCCAUAUCAUGUCACUAUUUGAUUGCAUGUGAUGUUUAUCAUGUUUUACAUCUUAUUUGCUUAGAACGACGGUAGCUUAAAUAAGAUGAUCCCUCGUAAUAAUUUCAAGAAAGUGUUCCCCCUAACUGUGCACCGUUGCGAAGGUCCGUUGUUUCGAAGCACCACGUGAUGAUCAGGUGUGAUAGAUUCUAACGUUCGAAUACAACAGGUGUAAGCCAGAUUUACACACGCAAUACACUUAGGUUGACUUGACGAGCCUAGCAUGUACAGACAUGGCCUCGGAACACAGAAGACCGAAAGGUCGAGCAUGAGUCGUAUAGAAGAUACGGUCAACAUGAAGAUGUUCACCGAUGUUGACUAGUCCGUCUCACGUGAUGAUAGGACACGGCCUAGUUGACUCGGAUCAUGUUUCACUUAGAUGACUAGAGGGAUGUCUAUCCGAGUGGGAGUUCAUUGAGUAAUUUGAUUAGAUGAACUUAAUUAUCAUGAACUUAGUCUAAAAUCUUUACACUAUGUCUUGUAGAUCAAAUGGCCCAUGCUAAUGUUGCCCUCAACUUCAACGCGUUCCUAGAGAAAACCAAGCUGAAAGAUGAUGGCAGCAACUAUACGGACUCGGUCCGGAACCUGAGGAUCAUCCUCAUAGCUGCCAAGAAAGAUUAUGUCCUAGAAGCACCGCUAGGUGAUGCACCCAUCCUAGAGAACCAAGACGUUAUGAACGCUUGGCAGUCACGUGAUGAUGAUUACUCCCUCGUUCAGUGCGGCAUGCUUUACAGCUUAGAAUCGGGGCUCCAAAAGCGUUUUGAGAGACACGAAGCAUAUGAGAUGUUCGAAGAGAUGAAAAUGGUUUUCCAAGCUCAUGCCCGGGUCGAGAGAUAUGAAGUCUUCGACAAGUUCUUCAGCUGUAAGAUGGAGGAAAAUAGUUCUGUCAGUGAGCACAUACUCAAAAUGUCUAGGUUGCAUAACCGCUUGACUCAGCUUGGAGUUAAUCUCCUGGAUGACGCAGUCAUUGACAGAAUCCUUCAGUCGCUUCCACCGAGCUACAAGAGCUUUGUGAUGAACUUCAAUAUGCAGGGGAUGGAAAAGACCAUUCCUGAGGUAUAUUCAAUGCUGAAAUCAGCAGAGGUGGAAAUCAAAAAGGAACAUCAAGUGUUGAUGGUGAAUAAAACCACUAAGUUCAAGAAAUGCAAGGGUAAGAAGAACUUCAAGAAGGAUGUCAAGGGAGUUGUCGCGCCCGGUAAGCAAGAUGCCGGGAAGAAGCCAAAGAAUGGACCCAAGCCCGAGACUGAGUGUUUUUAUUGCAAGGGAAGUGGUCACUGGAAGCGGAACUGCCCCAAAUACUUAGCGGACAAGAAGGCCGGCAACACUAAAGGUAUAUGUGAUAUACAUGUAAUUGAUGUGUACCUUACCAGUACUCGUAAUAGCUCCUGGGUAUUUGAUACCGGUGCGGUUGCUCACAUUUGUAACUCAAAGCAGGAGCUGCGGAAUAAGCGGAGACUGGCGAAGGACGAGGUGACGAUGCGCGUCGGGAAUGGUUCCAAGGUUGAUGUGAUCGCCGUCGGCACGCUACCUCUACAUUUACCUACGGGAUUAGUGUUAAACCUCAAUAAUUGUUAUUUAGUGCCAGCUUUGAGCAUGAACAUUGUAUCAGGAUCUCGUUUAAUUCGAGAUGGCUACUCAUUUAAAUCCGAGAAUAAUGGUUGUUCUAUUUAUAUGAGAGAUGUGUUUUAUGGUCAUGCUCCGCUGGUGAAUGGUUUAUUCUUAAUGAAUCUCGAGCGUAAUGUUACACAUAUUCGUAGUGUGAAUACCAAAAGAUGUAAGGUUGAUAAUGAUAGUCCCACAUACUUGUGGCACUGCCGUUUUGGUCACAUAGGUGUCAAACGCAUGAAGAAUCUCCAUGCAGAUGGACUUUUGGAGUCUCUUGAUUACGAAUCAUUUGACACGUGCGAACCAUGCCUCAUGGGUAAAAUGACCAAGACUCCGUUCUCAGGAACGAUGGAGCGAGCAACCAACUUAUUGGAAAUCAUACAUACUAAUGUGUGCGGCCCAAUGAGUGUUGAGGCUCGCGGUGGCUAUCGUUAUGUUCUCACCCUCACUGAUGACUUGAGUAGAUAUGGGUAUGUCUACUUAAUGGAACACAAGUCUGAGACCUUUGAAAAGUUCAAGGAAUUUCAGAGUGAGGUUGAGAAUCAACGUGACAAGAAAAUCAAGUUCUUGCGAUCAGAUCGUGGGGGAGAAUACUUGAUCACGAAUUUGGCACACACAUAAGAAAAUGUGGAAUAGUUUCACAACUCACACCGCCUGGAACACCUCAGCGUAAUGGUGUGUCCGAACGUCGUAAUCGCACUCUAUUGGAUAUGGUGCGAUCUAUGAUGUCUAUUAUCGAUCUACCGCUGUCAUUUUGGGGCUAUGCUUUAGAGACUGCCGCAUUCACUUUAAAUAGGGCUCCGUCGAAAUCAGUUGAGACGAAACCGUAUGAAUUAUGGUUUGGGAAGAAACCUAAGCUGUCGUUUCUAAAAGUUUGGGGAUGUGAUGCUUAUGUCAAGAAACUUCAACCUGAAAAGCUCGAACCCAAAUCAGAAAAAUGCAUCUUCAUAGGAUACCCUAAAGAGACUAUUGGGUAUACCUUCUACCUCAGAUCCGAAGGCAAGAUCUUUGUUGCCAAGAAUGGGUCCUUUCUAGAGAAAGAGUUUCUCUCGAAAGAAAUAAGUGGGAGGAAAGUAGAACUUGAUGAAGUAUUACCUCUUGAACCGGUAAGUGGUGCAGCUCAAGAAAAUGUUCCUGAGGUUCCUGCACCGACUAGAGUGGAAGUUAAUGAUGAUGAUCAUGAAACUUCAGAUCAAGUUGCUACUGAACUUCGUAGGUCCACAAGGACACGUUCCGCACCAGAGUGGUACGACAACCAUGUCUUGGAAAUCAUGUUGUUAGACAACGGUGAACCUUCGAACUAUGAAGAAGCGAUGGCGGGCCCGGAUUCCGACAAAUGGCUGGAAGCCAUGAAAUCCGAGAUAGGAUCCAUGUAUGAAAAUGAAGUAUGGACUUUGACUGACUUGCCCGAUGAUUGGCGAGCCAUAGAAAAUAAAUGGAUCUUUAAGAAGAAGACAGACGCGGAUGGUAAUGUAACCAUCUAUAAAGCUCGGCUUGGCGCUAAGGGUUAUCGACAAGUUCAAGGGGUUGAGUACAAUGAGACUUUUUUCACCCGUAGCAAAGCUGAAGUCCGUUUGAAUCAUGUUAGUAAUUGCCGCAUUCCAUGAUUAUGAGAUAUGGCAAAUGGACGUCAAAACGGCAUUCCUUAAUGGUUUCCUUAAGGAAGAAUUGUAUAUGAUGCAGCCGAAAGGUUUUGUCGAUCCUAAGAAUGCUGACAAGGUGUGCAAGCUCCAACGCUCGAUUUAUGGGCUGGUGCAAGCAUCUCGGAGUUGGAACAUUCGUUUUGAUGAGAUGAUCAAAGCGUUUGGGUUUACGCAGACUUAUGGAGAAGCCUGCAUUUACAAGAAAGUGAGUGGGAGCUCUGUAGCAUUUCUCAUAUUGUAUGUGGAUGACAUACUGUUGAUGGGAAAUGAUAUAGAAUUCUUGGAAAGCAUAAAGGCCUACUUGAACAAGUGUUUUUCAAUAAAGGAUCUUGGAGAAGCUGCUUAUAUAUUAGGCAUCAAGAUCUAUAGAGAUAGAUCGAGACACCUCAUUGGUCUUUCAUAGAGUACGUACCUUGACAAGAUAUUGAAGAAGUUCAAAAUGGAUCAGUCAAAGAAGGGGUUCUUGCUUGUAUUGCAAGGUACGAGAUUGAGCACGGCUCAAUGCCCGACCACAGCAGAAGAUAGAGAAAAGAUGAGUGUCGUCCCCUAUGCCUCGGCCAUAGGGUCUAUCAUGUAUGCUAUGCUGUGUACCAGACCUGAUGUAAACCUUGCCGUAAGUUUGGUAGGAAGGUACUAAAGUAAUCCCGGCAUGGAACACUGGACAGCGGUCAAGAAUAUCCUGAAGUACCUGAAGAGGACUAAGGAUAUGUUUCUCAUUUAUGGAGGUGACGAAGAGCUCGUCGUAAGGGUUAUGUCGAUGCUAGCUUCGACACAGAACUGGAUGACUCUAAGUCACAAACCGGAUACUUGUAUAUUUUGAAUGGUGGGGCAGUAAGCUGGUGCAGUUGCAAGCAAAGCAUUGUGGCGGGAUCUACAUGUGAAGCGGAGUACAUGGCAGCCUCGGAGGCAACACAAGAGGCAAUCUGGGUGAAGGAGUUCAUUACCGACCUAGGAGUCAUACCCAAUGUGUUGGGCCCAAUGGCUCUCUUCUGUGACAACACUGGAGCUAUUGCCCUUGCAAAGGAGCCCAAGUUUCACAGGAAGACCAGGCAUAUCAAGUGUCGCUUCAACUCCAUUCGUGAAAGUGUUCAAAAUGGAGACAUAGAUAUUUGUAAAGUACAUACGGACCUGAAUGUGGCAGAUCCAUUGACUAAACCUCUCCCUAGAGCAAAACAUGAUCAACACCAGAACUGCAUGGGUGUUCGAUUCAUCACAAUGUAACUAGACUAUUGACUCUAGUGCAAGUGGGAGACUGUUGGAAAUAUGCCCUAGAUGCAAUAAUAAAAUGGUUAUUAUUAUAUUUCUUUGUUCAUGAUAAUUGUCUAUUGUUCAUGCUAUAAUUGUGUUAUCCGGAAAUCGUCAUACAUGUGUGAAUACAUAGACCACAACACGUCCCUAGUGAGCCUCUACUUGACUAGCUCGUUGAUCAAAAGAUAGUCAUGGUUUCCUGACUAUGGACAUUGGAUGUCAUUGAUAACGGGAUCACAUCAUUAGGAGAAUGAUGUGAUGGACAAGACCCAAUCCUAAGCAUAGCUCAAAGAUCGUGCAGUUCGUUUGUUGUAGCUUUUCCAAAUGUCAAGUAUCAUUUCCUUAGACCAUGAGAUUGUGCAACUCCCGGAUACUGUAGGAGUGCUUUUGGUGUGCCAAACGUCACAACGUAACUGGGUGACUAUAAAGGUACACUACAGGUAUCUCCGAAAGUGUCUGUUGGGUUGGCACAAAUCGAGACUGGGAUUUGUCACUCCGUAUGACGGAGAGGUAUCUCUGGGCCCACUCGGUAAUGCAUCAUCAUAAUGAGCUCAAUGUGACCAAGUGGUUGAUCACGGGAUCAUGCAUUAUGGUACGAGUAAAGUGACUUGCCGGUAACGAGAUUGAACGAGGUAUUGGGAUACCGACGACCAAGUCUCGGGCAAGUAACAUACCGAUUGACAAAGGGAAUUGUAUACAGAUUGAUUGAAUCCUUGACAUCAUGGUUCAUCCGAUGAGAUCAUCGAGGAGCAUGUGGGAGCCAACAUGGGUAUCCAGAUCCCGCUGUUGGUUAUUGACCGGAGAGUCGUCUCGGUCAUGUCUGCGUGUCUCCCGAACCCGUAGGGUCUACACACUUAAGGUUCGGUGACGCUAGGGUUGUUGAGAUAUUAGUAUACGGUAACCCGAAAGUUGUUCGGAGUCCCGGAUGAGAUCCCGGACGUCACAAGGAGUUCCGGAAUGGUCCGGAGGUGAAGAUUUAUAUAUAGGAAGUCAAGUUUCGGCCAUCAGGAAAGUUUCGGGGGUAAUCGGUAUUGUACCAGGACCACCAGAAGGGUCUCGGGGGUCCACCGGGUGGGGCCACCUAUCUCGGAGGGCCCCAUGGGAUGAAGUGGGAGGGGAACCAGCCCCUAGUGGGCUGGUGCGCCCCCAUUGGGCCUCCCCCUGCGCCUAGGGUUGGAAACCCUAGGGGUGGGGGGCGCCCCACUUGGCUUGGGGGGCAAGCCACCCCCUUGGCCGCCGCCCUCCCUUGGAGAUUGGAUCUCCUAGGGCCGGAGCCCCCCCUUAGGGACCCAUAUAUAGUGGGGGAGGGAGGGCAGCCACACCCUAGCCCCUGGCCUCUCCCUCUCCCUCCCGUGACACCUCCUUCUCGCAGUGCUCGGCGAAGCCCUGCCGAGAUCACCGUUGCUUCCACCACCAUGCCGUCGUGCUGCUGGAUCUUCAUCAACCUCUCCUUCCCCCGUUUUGGAUCAAGUUGGAGGAGACGUCUUCCCAACCGUACAUGUGUUGAACGCGGAGGUGCCGUCCGUUCGGCGCUAGGUCAUCGAUGAUUUGGAUCACGACGAGUACGACUCCAUCACCCCCGUUCUCUUGAACGCUUCCGCGUGCGAUCUACAAGGGUAUGUAGAUGCACUACCCUCUCCCUUGUUUCUAGAUGACUCCUUAGAUUGAUCUUGGUGAUGCGUAGAAAAUUUUAAAAUUCUGCUACGUUCCCCAACAAUGCCGCUGGUAAAAUUAAGCAAUGCCACUCUUAGAAUUAACUACUGAAUCUUAGUUCAAAACUGCAACACUUGUUAGGGAUUGGCGGGAUUAACAUUUUUGUGGCCGCAUGUUUCAUCCUCCUUCAGGUCUUCCUCACGAGUUGUUACAAAUCUUGGUCUUGAAAGGUGAGUACCAACUUUCCUCAGAAUUAACUACUGAAUCUUAGUUCAAAAUUGCAACACUUGUUAGGGAUCGGCGGGGGUACCAUUUCUAUUGGGGAUCAGUCGGAGUACAUGUUUAAGAAAUGUAUUGUUCAGAUAAUGUCUCUGUUAUUAUAUAUCUGUUACCGUGUUUUACAAAUGGUACUAUCCUGCUUUGUAGUUCUUUCUACAUGUUUAACCAAGGUAUUGUUAAGAUAAUGUCUCCGUUAAAAUGAAUCGGUCGCAUUGUUUUAGGAAUGGUACUUUUCUGCUUUGUUGUUCUUUAUACAUGUUGAAACAAGGCAUUCUUAAGAUAAUGUCUCAGUUAAUAUGAAUGAAUCACACUAAUUGAGAAUUGCUACUCUCCUACUUUAUUUCCCAUUAAGAUGAGGUAGAUCAGUAGAUGUUUUUCUUCUGGGAGUACAAGUCAUCAACCGUUAUUUCUCAGCAAUUGUUUCCCUUAUACCUAUUGUGGCUUACAGGGAUAUCAAAAUUGAAGCUCGGUUUUAUUCCGACUCUGAUUUUAGUUGAACUGCAUAAAAGGAGCCAAUGUGCCUAAGGCAAACUGCUGCAUUAGUGGGUCCAGUUGGUCUUACCAAUUUGCAGAAAGAAGCAGGCACUGUUUGCGCUACAUUACAGAAGGAAUGAUCGAGAAGCUUUAUAGAGUAUUCGUAGACGCUGGUGACAUGACUAGUCUGCAGAGAGCAUAGGCAACUCUACAACACGUGGAGUGCACUGGGCAAAAAGCCAGGACAGGACUCCAAGUCUGUCAAUGUCAUUCUAAGCAACAAUGAUGGGACAUCUAGGUAUGGUAAUCUGUUUACCGUACUUUUAGUUUGUUAGUCCACCGAUUGGUGGGUUGACACUGGGGCCAAUAUUCAUGUGUGUGCUGAUGUGUCUUUGUUUUCUUGCAGCAUAUAAAUACGAAAUCCACAGGGAUGCUCAGCUUGAUUUUAGUGGAACUGCACAAAAUGUUCAGAUGGUUCGUGUCCUCCAUAAUACUUCAUCAUGCACAAUACAUUGAAUGGUUCUCUAAUCAUUCGUUGUCACCUUGAGCCAUCAGACUAUCAGAUGACAAACUGAUGACAAACCCUGCCUGUUCCACAAUCAUAGGCAUUACAUGUUGAAUGGGAAAAGCUUGUCAAAUUUUAAUCAUUGAUGUUAGCAAGAACACAUUAGUUUAAUAUAUUGGAAUUGUAAAACCUUGUCAAAUUUUGCUCAUUGAUGUUAGCCAGAAGACAUCAUUUGAUAUUUUUUUAGUGGGACGCCCUUUGCUGUGAGCAACGUCGAUCAUUUUUUCCUAUUCAUGUCUUCAGUUCAGAAAUAAAUAUUUACUCUGCUGAGAUGCAUAGUCACAUGAAUGUUGACUUAUGUAAGGUAUUUUAAGAGUUUGUUCUGAAUCUUGUCUAUGUAAUGCCAGGCCUUGUGAGUUUGAUUGCAAAGUUGAGCUUAGAAUGCUGUGGCAUGCGGCAUCAUGAGUUGUUCACCAUGCCUCCGGAGAAUAAUGCUUCAUAUUGUUUUGCAUGUUGAGCUAAUGCCUGUGAUUUGCAUGUUAAGAAGAUCAUCCUCUUUGUUGUUUAUGUGCUUAAGAAGUUCAUUGUCUUAUGUUUUAUUCAUAGCCUAUACGACAACUCAGGUAGGUUAGAGGUGAAACCAUAUGAUCUUCCGACCAACUCAUCAUCUUAGGAUGUGAUUGGAUCAUCGUUUUCCAACCAAAACCGCUUGUAAAACUGACGCUUGUGAAUAAAAGCAGAUGGUCUCGGGCGAAGCGCUUGGUUGGUCGAUUUCAACUAGUAAAAUAUACACUGGUCUCUCAAAUUACACACGUGACACGUCGGUUUUCGUUACAGACCUCGGGCCCUCAGUUUCAUUACGCCUGUAUUUUACGCGUUGUUUCCGAUGACGAGUAAAUUACACUUGUAUCUUAAUACAUGUGUGAAAUAAACCAGAGCUCCCAAGUGCGGCCUUACCGUUUCAUGCCGUCUCAGUCUCUCGAAGGUGCUCAUAGGUGUCCGAUGAUCCUGGCUUCCUGAAUGAGCCGUGGGCGCUGUAUCAGACCAUCCGUAGGGCUCGCGAGGCCCUCCCCGUCACCCUUCAAGUUGUGGCGCUCGCCGUGGCACCAAGCAUUGUCAACAUGGUCAACGAACAUGAGGAUUCAUGAGAUGACUUUAUUUUGACUGGAUGACAGUAGGGACCCACUAGGGCCAUAUCCGUAUGUACGCAAGUUCCUCCUUAUUAUAUAUAACUAUAUAUUUUUGCUUCCUCCUGGUUUCCUGACAUCACGGUCCCACACCAUCGUCAACCUAUAUAGUCAAUAAACGAGAGAAUUGCAUAAGGAGCGACCGACAGUUGGGACCCAACAGCUCGAGCAGUAUUUGUUUUUAGGUGUAAGUGGAGUUUUUCUUGAGUGAUGCUUUUAUUGUUGUUCAGAGGAGCAGGGUAUCAACUGGGUGGGAUGUGGCCCGUCUAGCCUAGGCUAUUAUUUUAUGUCGACCAAAUAUCCAGCCCAGAUAUUAUUUUUUCAAGGUGAAAAUGGCUAGCCCAGCUAUACUUUUUUGCGGAAUACCCAAUCCAGGUCAACUUGUUAUUCUCCACCCCGUUGGGCUGUAAAUCUUUCCUAUUAGGCCUAACAAGAAAAUGGGCUUUAGGAAAUAAUAAAUGAGAUGUAACUAUAAAAAGUGGGCUGUAAAUAUACAAAAACACACCAAGCAGGUAAUUAGUUUCAAAAAUAUUAUUGUUUGAAUUUGGAAAUUUUCAUUUCAUUACUUAUUGCGCGUGCAGUAUUUUUUUAGAUUUUUACCUAAUACAAAUUCAUUUUGAAAUUAUAUUUAAACUAACUCGAAAUUUCGGGAUAAUAUUUUCGGAUCCCAUCAAAAUGUGGGAUUUUUGGUUGAAUUCUGUUUUGAGAGGUUGGUUUAAAUUAUUAAUCAUUGUCCUGGCUAGAAAAUGGGUUGUAAUUUUAACAAACUAUAAAUGGGUUGUAGUAAAUUCCAUUAGAAUUCAAAAAUGGGUUGUACACUAUUACAAAUCGCAAAUGGGUUAUAUGUUCUCUGCCACAUAUGUGAUGCUCACUUGUGGGCCUACAUUUUUUUGGGAAUUAUAGUCAGUGACGCGUACCGAAGGCUUGUGGGCCUACUAAGGCAUACGGAAGGCUUUAUAAACUUAUAGUCAACACACGAUUCUAGCAGCAGUGGUCGUUGGAUGUCCAUCCAACGGCUGUAGUGCUUCUUCAAUCUCGGAUAUUCUUGCUUCAGCCGCCCAAACCAUCGCCGAUAGUACUGCCUGCUACCGCCUUCCUGGCUGGCUGUGCUGCUGCGCAGGCUUCACCAACCCACUCUAGUCCCAAGCGUCGUCCAGGCCAUUCCUCUACUCACCAACACCUCCUGUUCUUCACCGGCGACGAUAGCCUCACACCGCAGUCGAACGAGUGAACCCUUGUCCUCCCCUCCGCAUGGGCAUCCAUUGUUGUGUCUUCGCCCGCUCUGGGUCGUUCCCUUUGUAAUACUCGCCAUCGUUCACUGCGUUGGUUCUCUCGGUGCAACGUGGUCAACUUUGUCAACAAAUGACAUCCAUCGGGGACAGAGAUCCAGUGUCUUGCCCACAAGAAGGCACGGUGUAACUGGCGGCCAGCCAGCUGUUGGAUCAGGGGGGGGCGGCUUAGAUGGGGCAUGUAUGUGGAUUGGCUGACAGUAGGAACGCACAUGGCCCAUGGCCGCACGCAGCAAGUGCCCACGUAUUAUGCGAAAACAAAUAAUUUCUCCCCCUGACAGGCUUGACCCACCAGCUACAUCUUCGCAUGCAAGGAAGUGCUUCCUUUAUUACGCGGAAAUAAAUAGUUUCCUCUCUAUGAUAGCUGGGGCCCACCAGCUUUAUUAUGAUCCUUUUUGUGAAAAUAUAGAUUGUACCGAAGAUCCUAAAUUGUUCUAUUUUUAUUCUAACUCAAAAAAGAAGAAAUAAAAAACCCAGAAAACAUCUUCGCAUGCAAGGAAGUGCCACCUUAUUAUGCAAAAAAAUUGAGUCCCCCUGCUAGUUGGGACCCACCAGAUUUGUAGGUGAUGUCUACUACACAACCUUCUUCUUGUAGACGUUGUUGGGCCUCCAAGUGCAGAGGUUUGUAGGACAGUAGCAAAUUUCUCUCAAGUGGAUGGCCUAAGGUUUAUCAAUCCGUAGGAGGCAUAAGAUGAAGAUGGUCUCUCUCAAGCAACCCUGCAACCAAAUAACAAAGAGUCUCUUGUGUCCCCAACACACCCAAUACAAUGGUAAAUUGUAUAGGUGCACUAGUUCGACGAAGAGAUGGUGAUACAAGUGCAAUAUGGAUAGUAGAUAAUAGUUUUUGUAAUCUGAAAAUAUAAAAACAGCAAGGUAACUAAUGAUAAAAGUGAGCACAAACGGUAUUGCAAUGCGUUGAAACAAGGCCUAGGGUUCAUACUUUCACUAGUGCAAGUCCUCUCAACAAUAAUAACAUAAUUGGAUCACAUAACUAUCCCCCAACAUGCAACAAAGAGUCACUCCGAAGUCACUAAUAGCGGAGAACAAACGAAGAGAUAAUGGUAGGGUAUGAAACCACCUCAAAGUUAUUCUUUCCAAUCAAUCCAUUGGGCUAUUCCUAUAAGUGUCAUAAACAGCCCUAGAGUUCGUACUAGAAUAACACCUUAAGACACAAAUCAACCAAAACCCUAAUGUCACCUAGAUACUACAAUGUCACCUCAAGUAUCCGUGGGUAUGAUUAUACGAUAUGCAUCACACAAUCUCAGAUUCAUCUAUUCAACCAACACAUAGAACCUCAAAGAGUUCCCCAAAGUUUCUACUGGAGAAUCACGACGAAAACGUGUGCCGACCCCUAUGCAUAGGUUCAUGGGCGGAACCCGCAAGUUGAUCACCAAAACAUACAUCAAGUGAAUCACGUGAUAUCCCAUUGUCACCACAGAUAUGCACGGCAAGACAUACAUCAAGUGUUCUCAAAUCUUUAAAGACUCAAUCCGAUAAGAUAACUUCAAAGGGGAAACUCAAUCCAUUACAAGAGAGUAGAGGGGGAGGAGAAACAUAAGAUCCAACUAUAAUAGCAAAGCUCGCGAUACAUCAAGAUCGUGUCAAAUCAAGAACACGAGAGAGAGAGAGAGAGAGAGAGAGAGAGAGAGAUCAAACACAUAGCUACUGGUACAUACCCUCAGCCCCGAGGGAGAACUACUCCCUCCUCGUCAUGGAGAGCAACGGGAUGAUGAAGAUGGCCACCGGAGAAGGAUUCCCCCUCCGGUAGGGUGCCGGAACGGGUCUAGAUUGGUUUUCGAUGGCUACGGAGGCUUCUGGCGGCGGAACUCCCGAUCUAUUGUGCUCACGUAUGUUUGUAGGGUAUAUGGAGAUAUAUAGGAGGAAGAAGUACAUCAGGGGGGGCACGAGGGGCCCACGAGGGUGGAGGGCGCGCCCCCCUACCUCGUGGCUCCCUUGUUUCUUUCCUGACGUGCACUCCAAGUCCAUCAGGUUGCUUUCCUUCCAAAAAUAAGUUCCGUGAAGUUUCAGGUCAAUUGGACUCCGUUUGAUUUUCCUUUUGUGCGAUACUCUAAAACAAGGUAAAAACAGAAACUGGCACUGAGCUCUGGGUUAAUAGGUUAGUCCCAAAAAAUGAUAUAAAAGUGUAUAAUAAAGUCCAUAAACAUCCAAAACAGUAGAUAAUAUAGCAUGGAGCAAUCAAAAAUUAUAGAUACGUUGGAGACGUAUCAGCAUCCCCAAGCUUAAUUCCUGCUCGUCCUCGAGUAGGUAAAUGAUAAAAACAGAAUUUUUGAUGCGGAGUGCUACUUGGCAUAAUUUCAAUGUAAUUCUUCUUAUUUGUGGCAUGAAUAUUCGGAUCCGAAAGAUUCAAGACAAAAGUUCAUAUUGACAUCAAAUAAAAUAAUAAUACUUCAAGCAUACUAACAAAGUAAUCAUGUCUUCUCAAAAUAACAUGGCCAAAGAAAGUUCAUCCCUACAAAAUCAUAUAGUUCAGUCAUGCUCCAUUUUUGUCACACAAGAAUGCUCUCAUCAUGCACAACCCCGAUGACAAGCCAAGCAAUUGUUUCAUACUUUAGUAAUCUCAAACCUAUAAACUUUAACGCAAUACAUGAGCGCGAGCCAUGGAUAUAGCACUAUGGGUGGAAUAGAAUAAUGAGGAGGUUAUGUGGAGAAGACAAAAAUGAGAAAGUCUCACAUCAAUGAGGCUAAUUGAUGGGCUAUGGAGAUGCCCAUCGAUUGAUGUUAAUGCAAGGAGUAGGGAUUGUCAUGCAACGGAUGCACUUGAGCUAUAAAUGUAUGAAAGCUCAACAAAAGAAACUAAGUGGGUGUGCAUCCAACUUUCUUGCUCACGAAGACCUAGGGCACUUGAGGAGGCCCAUUGUUGGAAUAUACAGGCCAAGUUCUAUAAUGAAAAAUUCCCUCUAGUAUAUGAAAGUGACAAAACAAGAGACUCUCUAUCAUGAAGAUUAUGGUGCUACUUUGAAGCACAAGUGUGGCAAAGGAUAGUAGCAUUGUCCCUUCUCUCUUUUUCUCUCAUUUUGUGGGCCUUCUCUUUUUUAUGACCUUCCUCUAUUUUCUUUUUUGGGGCCUUCUCUCUUUUUUAUGGCCUUUUUUAUUCCUCACUUGGGACAAUGCUCUAGAAAAUGAUGAUCAUCACACUUCUAUUUAUUUACAACUCAAUGAUUACAACUUGAUACUAGAACAAGAUAUGACUCUAUAUGAAUGCCUCUGGUGGUGUACCGGGAUUGCGAUGAUGCAUGAGUGACAUGUAUGAAAGAAUUAUGAGAGGUGGAUUUUCCACAAAUACAAUGUCCACUACAUGAUCAUGCAAAGCAAUAUGACAAUGCUAAAGCGUGUCAUAGUAAACGGAACGGUGGAAAGUUGCAUGGCAAUAUAUCUCGGAAUGGCUAUGGAAAUGCCAUAAUAGGUAGGUAUGGUGGCUGUUUUGAGGAAGAUAUAAGGAGAUUUAUGUGUGAUAGAUCGUAUAAUAUCACGGGGUUUGGAUGCACCGGCGAAGUUUGCACCAACUCUCAAUGUGAGAAAGGGCAAUGCACGAUACCGAAGAGGCUAGCAAUGAUGGAAGGGUGAGGGUGCGUAUAAUCCAUGGACUCAACACUAGUCAUAAAGAACUCACAUACUUAUUGAAAAAAUCUACAAGUCAUCAAAAACCUCGGCAUUGCGCGCAUGCUCCUAGGGGGAUAGAUUGGUAGGAAAAUACCAUCGCUCGUCCCCGACCGCCACUCAUAAGGAAGACAAUCAAAUAACACCUCAUGUUUGAAAUUUGUUACACAACGUUUACCAUACGUGCGUGCUACAGGACAUGCAAACUUCAACACAAGCACUUCUCAAAUUCACAACUACUCAACUAGCAUGACUUUGAUAUUAUUACCUCCAUAUCUCAAAACAAUCAUCAAGUAUGAAACUUCUCUUAGUAUUCAAUGCACUUAUAUGAAAGUUUUUACUAUUCUUGGAUGCCUAGCAUAUUAGGAUUAUUUAAGAAAAUUACCAUGCUAUUUAAGACUCUCAAAAUAAUAUAAGUGAAGCACGGGAAUUCAUCUAUUUCUUCAAAAUAAAACCACCACCGUGCUCUAAAAAGAUAUAAGUGAAGCACUAGAGCAAAUGACAAACUACUCCGAAAGAUAUAAGUGAAGAUCAAUGAGUAGUCAAACAAUUAUGCAACUAUAUGAAGACUCUCUAACAUUUAAUAAUUUCAGAUCUUGGUAUUUUAUUCAACAAGCAAAACAAAAGGAAAUAAAAUGACGCUCCAAGCAAAACACAUAUCAUGUGGCGAAUAAAAAUACAGCUCCAAGUAAAGUUACCGAUGAACGAAGACGAAAGAGGGGAUGCCUUCAGGGGAAUCCCCAAGCUUAGGUUUUGGUUGUCCUUGAAUAUUAACUUGGGGUGCCUUGGGCAUCCCCAAUCUUAGGCUCUUGCCACUCCUUAUUCCAUAGUCCAUCAAAUCUUUACCCAAAACUUGAAAACUUCACAACACAAAACUUAACAGAAAACUCGUAAGCUCCGUUAGUAUAAGAAAAUAAAUCACCACUUAGGUACUGUUGUGAACUCAUUAUAAAUUCAUAUUAGUGUAAUAUCUAGUGUAUUACAACUUAUCUAUGGUUCAUACCCUCCGGUACUACUCAUAGAUUCAUCAAAAUAAGUGAACAACACAUCGAAAACAGAAUCUGUCAAAAACAGAACAGUCUGAAGUAAUAUGGAUCAAACGUAUACUUCUGGAACUCAUAAAAUUCUCAAAUAAAUUUCUGGACCUGAGGAAUUUAUCUAUUAAUCAUCUGAAAAAAUAAUUAACUAAAUAUCACUCUCCAAUAAAAAAUGGCAGCAAUUCUCGUGAGCGCUAAAGUUUCUGUUUUUUACAGCAUGAUCAUAAAGACUUCACCCAAGUCUUCCCAAAGGUUCUACUUGGCACAAACACUAAUUAAAACAUAAAAACUCAAUCAUAACAGAGUCUAGAUAAAUUAUUUAUUACUAAACAGGAGCAAAAAGCAAGGAACAAAAAUAAAGUUGGGUUGCCUCCCAACAAGCGCUAUCGUUUAACACCCCUAGCUAGGCAUGAUGAUUUCAAUGAUGCUCACAUAAAAGAUAAGAAUUGAAACAUAAAGAGAGCAUCAUGAAGAAUAGGACUAGCACAUUUAAGUCUAACCCACUUCCUAUGCAUAGGGAUUUUGUGAGCAAACAACUUGUGGGAACAAGAAUCAACUUGCAUAGGAAGGUAAAACAAGCAUAACUUCAUAACUUUAAGCACAUAGAGAGGAAACUUGAUAUUAUUGCAAUUCCUACAAGCAUAUAUUCCUCCCUCAUAAUAAUUUUCAGUAGCAUUAUGAAUGAAUUCAACAAUAUAACCAGCACCUAAAGCAUUCUUUUCAUUAUCUACCAGCAUAGGAAUUUUAUUACUCUCCUCAUAAGAAAAAUUCUUCUCAUUCGGAAUAGUGGGAGUAUCAUAAGAGACUCGAAUACUAUAAAUUGUUUCCACAUGAAAAGAGUAAUGUUCAGGAAAGGGGUAAUCAUAAUCAUGACAAGUUUCAUAGAUAUAAUCACUACUUUUUAUAGCAUAAGUAUCAUCACAAUAAUCGUCAUAGGUAGGAGGCAUGCUAUCAUCAUUAUAAAUUUGCAUAUUAAAACUUAGGAGACUAAAAAGAUCAUCUUCAUUAAGCGUAGCAUCCCCAAGCUUGGGACAAACAUUAAUUGUAGCAAAUAUAUUCUCAAAAACAUCAUCUUCAUCAAACAUAGCAUCCCCAAGCUUGGGCCUUUUCAUAUCAUAAGCAUAAUCACUCUCAUCAUUAAUAGUAUGGAUAGCACCAAUAGUAUAGCAAUUAUCAUAUUCUUCUAAGCAAGUGCCAAAAAGAUUUUCAAGAUCAUAAGAAGUAUCAUUAUAUUCCACAAUUAUGUUUUCACGAGGCACAAUAGUAAUAGGAGAAGCAUUAUUUGGGAAAGGUGUCUUUUUACCUCUCUUCCUUUUUCUUUUCUUCUUCUUCACCACAUCAUGUGUGGGUUCAAUCCUCUUUUUGGAGCUCCUUAUUAAUGAGAUUGGUUGAAUAGGAGGCUCCUCCUCGUUACCUGAUUCAUCAUAAGAAAUAAUAGGAGGGUAUUGGGAAGUCUCUUCCCUUUCAUUAGUAUUCUCUUCAUCUUCUAUUUGUUUUCUUUUCUUUAUGUAGUUGGAAUAUAAGGAUUUUCAAUACAAUUCACCGCACAAUACAUAUAAAUCUUCUCUAGAUCAAAAUCAAGAAAUCUAUCAAGAUUAAAUUUUGGAAUACCCUCAGUAAUACAUUUCAUUUCCUCAUACCCCAAAAGAAUACUAAGCUCUUUAUGAUGCUCAAGGGUAAUCAAAUUAUCACAAUUUUUGGAUACGAUUCGGUCAUGAAACAAUUUGCAUUGGAGAUUUAAAUGACCAUGUUCAUUGCAAAGUUCACAAGGGGCGCGAAAAAUAUUGAAUUUUUCAGCACAAUCAUCAAGACUUUCUUGCAACAAUUUAGUUUCUAAAUACUUAUGCCUCUUGCAAUAUCUAUCUUCCUUAUUUGGUGUGUACUUGCAAACCCAAUGCACUCCACAAAAAUUGACAUGUUUAUAGGAGACAUUUUCAUCAUAACUAGUGCAAUCAUCAUUAGUACCAUGGAUAUUCAAGGAGUUCAUACUAACAACAUUGCAAUCAUGCUCAUCAUUCAAAUAUUUAGUGCCAAACAUUCUAAUGCAUUCUUCUUCUAGCACUUUGGCACAAUUUUCCUUUCCAUUAUACUCACGAAAGAUAUUAAAAAGAUGAAGCGUAUGAGACAAACUUAAUUCCAUUUUUUGUAGUUUUCUUUUAUAAACUAACUAGUGCUAAAACAAGAAACAAAAAGACUCGAUUGCAAGAUCUAAAGAUAUACCUUCAAGCGCUAACCUCCUCGGCAACGGCGCCAGAAAAGAGCUUGAUGUCUACUACACAACCUUCUUCUUGUAGACGUUGUUGGGCCUCCAAGUGCAGAGGUUUGUAGGACAGUAGCAAAUUUCCCUCAAGUGGAUGACCUAAGGUUUAUCAAUCCGUAGGAGGCGUAGGAUGAAGAUGGUCUCACUAAAGCAACCCUGCAACCAAAUAACAAAGAGUCUCUUGUGUCCCCAACACACCCAAUACAAUGGUAAAUUGUAUAGGUGCACUAGUUCGGCGAAGAGAUGGUGAUACAAGUGCAAUAUGGAUAGUAGAUAAUAGUUUUUUUAAUCUGAAAAUAUAAAAACAACAAGGUAACUAAUGAUAGAAGUGAGCACAAACGGUAUUGCAAUGCGUUGAAACAAGGCCUAGGGUUCAUACUUUCACUAGUUCAAGUCCUCUCAACAAUAAUAACAUAAUUGGAUCACAUAACUAUCCCUCAACAUGCAACAAAGAGUCACUCUGAAGUCACUAAUAGCGGAGAACAAACAAAGAGAUUAUGGUAGGGUACGAAACCACCUUAAAGUUAUUCUUUCCAAUCAAUCCGUUGGGCUAUUCCUAUAAGUGUCACAAACAGCCCUAGAGUUCGUACUAGAAUAACACCUUAAGACACAAAUCAACCAAAACCCUAAUGUCACCUAGAUACUCCAAUGUCACCUCAAGUAUCUGUGGGUAUGAUUAUACGAUAUGCAUCACAUAAUCUCAGAUUUAUCUAUUCAACCAACACAUAGAACCUCAAAGAGUGCCCCAAAGUUUCUACCGGAGAAUCACGACGAAAACGUGUGCCAACCCCUAUGCAUAGGUUCAUGGGCGGAACCCGCAAGUUGAUCACCAAAACAUACAUCAAGUGAAUCACGUGAUAUCCCAUUGUCACCAUAGAUACGCACGGCAAGACAUACAUCAAGUGUUCUCAAAUCUUUAAAGACUCAAUCCGAUAAGAUAACUUAAAAGGGGAAACUCAAUCCAUUACAAGAGAGUAGAGGGGAAGGCGAAACAUAAGAUCCAAAUAUAAUAGCAAAGCUCGCGAUACAUCAAGAUCAUGCCAAAUUAAGAACACGAGAGAGAGAGAGAGAGAGAGAGAGAGAGAGAGAGAGAUCAAACACAUAGUUACUAGUACAUACCCUCAGCCCCGAGGGAGAACUACUCCCACCUCGUCAUGGAGAGCACUGGGAUGAUGAAGAUGGCCACUGGAGAAGGAUUUCCCCUCCGGCAGGGUGCCGGAACGGGUCUAGAUUGGUAUACGGUGGCUACGGAGGCUUCUGGCAGCGGAACUCCCGAUCUAUUGUGCUCACGGAUGUUUUUAGGGUAUAUGGAGAUAUAUAGGCAGAAGAAGUACGUCAGGGGGGGCACGAGGGUGGAGGGCGUGCCCUAGGGGGUGGGUGCGCCCCCUACCUCGUGGCUCCCUCAUUUCUUUCCUGACAUGCACUCCAAGUCCAUCAGGUUGCUUUCCUUCCAAAAAUAAGUUCCGUGAAGUUUCAGGUCAAUUGGACUCCAUUUGAUUUUCCUUUUCUGUGAUACUCUAAAACAAGGUAAAAACAGAAACUGGCAUUGGGCUCUGGGUUAAUAGGUUAGUCCCAAAAAAUGAUAUAAAAGUGUAUAAUAACGCCCAUAAACAUCCAAAACAGUAGAUAAUAUAGCAUGGAGCAGUCAAAAAUUAUAGAUACGUUGGAGACGUAUCAGUAGGCUGACUUGUGGGCCUACUAAGUGAACGCGUAUGCAGGGCUUUGUCAACUUAGUCGAUAAACGAUUCUAGCUACACUGACCGUUCGAUAUUAAUCCAACGGCCAAGCUACGUCUUCAACCUCUGGUCUUGUUGCUCCAGCCGCCCAAACCUGCGCCCGCCGUACCGCCUGCUCCAGCCUCUCGUGGUCGGCUAUGCUGCCGCACAGGCCUCACUGCCCGACCAUACUACUAAUGGCCAGGCCUUCCCUCUACUCACCCACACCCCCUGUUAUUCUCCAAAGACGGCAGCCUCAAACCGCAGCUGAAGCAAUCAACCCCAUACUCUCCUCCGCGUGGGCAUCCACUGCUGCGUAUUCCCCGGCUCUGGGUCGUUCCCUUCCUAGGUCGCGCCGUCGUCCACCACCUUGGUGCUCUCGGGCGGUAUGGCGUCAUCAACGCGGUUGUCGGUGUACUAGAAUAGGGGUACCCUAGUACCCCGAACUUGUGCACGGGCAGUUGCAGCACCCCGCGGCAAGGCUUGCCGGGCGAACACCAAGAUCCUCCGUGGUUCCCUUGGAGCCAUUCAAGAAUAAAGUAUUUAAGCUUAGGAGACAAGGCCCCGGCAAGAGGAGCUUGCUGGGAAGGCCAACCAAGGCACACCAAGGAACUUGCCGCGACGCGCCACGCGCUCCGGCAAGGCAACAAGGCCCCGACAAGAGGAGCUUGCCGGGAAUACCAGCCCAGGUACCUCGAGGCCCGGUGAGCGACAACCUUCCGGACCCGACAAGAUAACAGCAGCGGCAAGGCGCUUGCCGCGGCAGGCGGCCACUCUGUGCCCACGCUCCAGUGCAUCCACCAACGUGUCGCCCCGGGGGCCUCUCCAGGCGCGCGUGGCGGGAGGCUGUGCAGCCAGCGGUGCGUAGUGGCAUGCGAAACUGACAGGAUCGCCAUCGUGGCGAACGGUGGCGCCCCUAACGGUCCUUUUCUGCACUGUUUGGGUGACCCAGACGGGUAUUUAAUGCCCUUGUCCCCUGCCGUCAGAGUUAGGUAGGGUGCACUGUACAAAUAAUUGUACCAACCACCUCACUUUUUACAUUUGUGCCCUUCUCUGCGUUGCCACCUGUCGGUGACCCCUUUAGCGUAUAAAAGGAGGCCCAUGCGCAACGUAGGGGGGGUUCGGUCGGUUCGACUCAUUCGUAACCCAGAAAGACACUACGCUCUCUCUAGAGCAAGAACACAAGAUAAUACAGCCAGACAAGCAGCAGUAGGAGUGUUAUCUCUCCGGAGAGCUCCGAAGCUGGGUAAAACAGCUCGUGUGCUUCGCCUCGAUCUACUCUUCGUGCGACCUCCGCCCCCCGCCGAACCGAAAGGGGCCCGAUCUGCCGGCCCCAUAGGUGUUGGUGGAUCAGUUUCCCCGACAUCUUUGGCGCGCCAGGUAGGGGGCGUCGAGAUUGUGUGAACCUGAUCCGGCGUUCACACGAGCUAGAUCUUCAUUCCCUUCAUCAACAUGCCACCGAAGAAGAAGACUUCGGUGGCAGCCGCUCUGUCCACGUCUCUUCCGCCACCGUUGGAGCAAACGGGUGGUGGAAUGGACGUCGGCGGAAGAAUGGACGUCGACGAGGAAGCUCAUGAUGCUGCCAGGUCCAAGGACAAGGCUGCACAAACCUCGGCGACUAUACAUGUCCCGCGCCACUCUCAGGAGGCGCAAGACCAACAGCGUCAUGGCACUUGCAGUGCCAUACGCAUGAUAGGCCAAGACCAAGCUGGUGGAUCUCGGGGCGCUCAAGACCAGCAUGCACGCCAGCGUGCUGGCACGGGCGGGGCACGGUCGCCUGGACGGGAUACUGCUCCUUCUAACAUAGUUAGAAGUUCGAGCACGUCCCGCUCCUCGCGCCGUCCGCCACUGCCACCCACCACUCCAGCAGAAGCUUUGGCGCAAGCUCAACUUCUCCUAGAUUACCCUCCGACGCCGGACAAGAUCGAUGAAUGGAGGGCCACCAUUCAGAGUCUCAUCGGCUACGCCAACGGCGACACUCCACGGCGGCCGAGCGCGUCGCCGCCGCGGCAGGGUUGCCGGGCGCGAGCCGGUGGCGACGAAACGGGUGGAGGUGCAACUACCAUGCAAUCACCACCCCGAAGGCCAAGAUCGCCGACUCGCCGGAUCCACCUCGACAGCGACUCCACCGCAUCGUUGGAUCCACGAGCUCGUCGCGAUCAGCGCCAAGUUCUUCAUGAUCAACAACAAGAAGACGCCCGAACUCGCAUCGAGCGCCGAAGAGAAGCGCGACGUCAAUCCGACAAGCGCGCUGGGCCCUCUGUUGACAUGCAUGCGCCAGGGGAACCAGGCGAUCUACCGUACACGGUAGGUUGCCCUGCGUUCACUCGUGAGCUGCGGCAAGUCCAGUGGCCCAGCAUAAAGAACUUCAAGCCAGACGUACCGGAGAAGUACGACGGCAAGACACAUCCGUCGGAGUUCCUCAGCAUCUACACCAUUGCGGUACAGGCUGCCGGGGGACGAGAUGACAAGAUCCUUGCCAACUACUUCCCGCUGGUACUCAAGCCCAACGUCAAGUCCUGGCUCAUGCACUUGCCGGACAACUCCAUAUCUUCUUGGGCUGAUCUGUGCCAUCAGUUUGUCGGCGCCUUCACAGGCGGACACAAGCCUCAUGGCCAGGAGAGUGAUCUUCAUCUGCUCACCCAGAAGGAAGGAGAGCCCCUGCACAAGUACAUUCAGAGAUUCAGCAGUGUGCAGCACAACAUCCCAGAUGUCCACCCUGCCGCGGUGAUCAGCACGUUCCAUCAGAACGUGCGGAACCGCAGGAUGCGGGAGGAAAUGGCGAUGUGCAAGAUCAGGGACGUCAGUGAGUUAUAUGCACUGGCCGACAAGUGUGCACAUGCUGAGGAAGGGAGGAGACUCCCCGGAGAGAAUGUAGGAGCGGGAGGAUCUGACAGUGAAGAUGCUACCCCGUCAAGGAAAAACCGGCGGCGGAACAACAGAAGGAGGAAAGGCAAAGAAGUGCUAGUUGUUGAGCAGUCCGGCAACGGUGGUGGCGCCAAGGAAGCCAAAGCUGGUGACUCCGGCAAGGAGGUUGUCGCGGAGGUGGCGGUCGCCGACAAGCAGGACGGCACCAACAAGCAGUAUUGCAAGAUCCACCGCACCAAGGGCCAUGAUCUCCAGAACUGUAAGAAAGUCGAACAGCUUGUUGAGCAACAGAAAGCUGAAUACGAGCGGCGCGACAAGGAGAAGGCCCAGGAAGGUGCUGGGGGAUCCGGCAAGAAACGUCCCGGCCGAGGAGGACGCCGCGGCAAGGCCAAGCAGCGGCAAGGAGACAGACCUCCUCGCGGCCGCGACAAGGAUGAAGAUGACGACGACGAUGAAGACAUGGAUGAUGAGGAGACUGAUGAGCAGGAGUUCCAGAAAGCCACAGAGGUCCUAUGCAUUGACGGUGGUGCUUCUCUACAUACCUCGCACCGCCAGCUCAAGCAGUGGGUGCGGGAAGUUAAUGCAGCAGAACCACCCGUCGAGUCACGCAAGCCUCUGAAAUGGUCCGGCACGCCUAUCAUCUUUGAUAUUGAGGACCACCCUGAUCGCAUAACUGCGGUCGGGUGCUUGCCGAUGCUGGUUUCACCAACAAUCCGCAACCUCAAGGUCACUAAGAUGCAAGUUGACGGCGGGGCCGGCUUGAACCUGAUCUCCUCCGCGGUGCUUCAGAAACUCCAGAUCCCUGACAGCGAGCUCGAAGAGACCGGUACAUUUCUAGGAAUCAACCCGAGAAGGAGCAAGCCGAAGGGAAAGAUCACGUUGCCGGUAACAUUUGGCAGCGAGCUGAACUUCAGGACUGAGAGGGUCACGUUUGACGUUGCCGACUUCCCAUUACAUUACAAUGGAAUCCUUGGCCGUCCGGCACUCGCCAAGUUCAUGGCAGCCUCUCACUAUGCGUACAACGUACUGAAAAUGCGAGGCCCGAUAAGUGUCAUCUCUGUCCCUGGUGACAAGAAGGAUGCUCUUAUCUGUGCCGACAAGAUCUACCGGGAAGCAGCAGCCGCAGAAGAACGCAGGACACUUGCCGCUGAAGCUCCCGGGGGGAAGAAGAAGACCAAGUCCGGCAAGAGCUCUGAUGCCCACUCCGGCAAGCGCACCUCUUCGGAGUGCUGCGCUACCGUCGAGGACGCACCAUCGAGCUCCACCGGCAAGUGUAAGAAGGCAAUGGCAGCUCCACCUGAGACCAAGAAGGUGUCCGCCAAGGAGGAUGGCGCUGGUGGUACCUUCACCAUCAGCGCCACUCUUGAUCCCAAAUAGGAAAGCGCGCUCGUUGCUUUCCUGCGGGCGAAUGUCGACGUGUUUGCAUGGCAACCGUCUGAUAUCCCCAGUGUUCCCAGGAAAGUAAUUGAGCACCACCUUGCCGUUUGUCCUCAUGCAUGGCCCGUCAAGCAGAGAGUCAGGAAACAGGCAGUAGAGCGCCAAGAAUUCAUCGCAGAAGAAAUCAAGAAGUUGGAAGCAGCAGGCCUUGUCAGAGGAGUGCUCCAUCCCACGUGGUUGGCCAAUCCUGUUGUCGUGCGCAAGGCUAACGGGAAAUGGAGGCUUUGUAUUGACUUUACUGAUGUUAAUAAAGCUUGUCCCAAAGACCCAUUUCCCUUGCCACGUAUUGACCAGAUUGUUGACUCCAUAGCCGGAUGUGAUUUGCUUUCAUUUCUUGAUGCAUACUCAGGAUACCAUCAGAUCUUCAUGGCAGAAGAAGAUGAAGAGAAAACCGCAUUUAUCACCCCAUGUGGCACGUACUGCUUCGUACGGAUGCCUUUCGGUUUGAAGAAUGCUAGUUCAACAUUCGCAAGGGUAGUCCACCAUGCUUUUGAGCCGCAGAUGCACAGAAAUGUGGAAGCCUACAUGGAUGACAUAGUGGUCAAGAGCAAGAACAGGGCGACCCUGAUUCAAGAUUUAGACGAGACAUUUGCAAAUCUGCGCAAGAUCAACCUCAAGCUUAACCCCGAGAAGUGCGUGUUUGGAGUCCCUUCCGGCAAGCUUCUCGGGUUCUUCGUGUCUCAGCGGGGAAUUGAAGCCAAUCCCGACAAGAUCAAGGCCAUUGAGCAGAUUGAAGCACCAAAGCACGUCAAGGAUGUACGAAGGCUUGCGGGUUGCGUGGCUGCUCUCAGCAGGUUUAUCUCUAGAUCUGCUGAGCGCGCCCUGCCAUUUUUCAAAAUUUUGAAAAAGGCAGGUCCAAUGAAAUGGACUCCGGAGGCGGAGGCUGCGCUGCAGGACUUGAAAAGAUACCUGUCCUCCACUCCAACACUUGUCGCACCUAGGCCGCAAGAGAAGUUGCUGCUGUAUAUAGCGGCAACCAAUCAAGUGGUUAGUGCUGCGUUAGUGGCGGAGAGGGAGGCAGAUGAUGAGCCAGCAACCACAGCAGAUGCAUCCAGCGACAAGCAGGGGGCUUCGCCGACAAGCUCUGUUCCCGACAAAGAUGGAUCUGCGCAGGAGCAUGAUAAGAUACAGAAGAGAAUGGUGCAGCGUCCAGUUUACUUUGUCAGCUCCCUUCUACAGGGGGCUAGAUCAAGGUACUCUGGUGUGCAGAAGUUGCUCUUCGGCCUCCUCAUGGCCUCGAGAAAGCUGCGCCAUUACUUCCAAGCACAUGAGAUCACAGUCAUCACUCGCUUUCCGCCGAAGAGGAUACUGCAAAAUCCAGAAGCAACAGGCAGGAUUGUCGAGUGGGCGCUGGAACUGUCAAGCUUUGGCCUCAAGUUUGAGAGCACUUCAACUAUCCAAAGCAGAGCAUUGGCAGAGUUCAUAGAAGAAUGGAUGCCAACCCCAGAUGAAGAAAUUCUAGAGACGAGCAUCCCCGUCAAAGAGGCAAGCAAAAAGUGGUUGAUGUACUUUGAUGGUGCCUUCUCGCUGCAAGGCGCCGGUGCAGGCGUGCUGCUUGUCGCGCCCACCGGAGAGCACCUCAAGUACGUAGUCCAGAUGCACUUUCCCAAGGAGCAAGCAACCAACAAUACUGCAGAGUAUGAAGGAUUGCUUGCCGGACUCAGAAUCGCAGCAGACCUUGGGAUCAAGAAGCUCACUGUCAGGGGUGACUCACAGCUUGUCAUCCGCCAAGUGAACAAGAACUACCAGAGUCCAAUGAUGGAAGAGUAUGUCGAUGAAGUGAGGAAGCUAGAAGAACACUUUGACGGCCUACAGAUGGAGCAUGUCCCCAGAGUUCAGAAUGACAUUGCUGAUGGCCUGUCAAAGUGCGCCGCACUGAAGUUACCUGUGGAACCAGGGAUCUUUGUGCUCAAGUUGACUCAACCAUCCGUAACACCAUCAACUGGACAAAGCAAGAAGAGGAAGUUAAUUUUUGGUGACUACUUUCCGGCAGAGCUCCCCGAAGCCGCCGCCAAGAAAGUCCCCAAGAUCAACACCAAGGUUGCUGAGGGGCAGUCUGCUCCGGCAAGCCUUAUGGUUUGUUCCGUUGAAGCAGACGCUCCCGACAAGUUUUGCUCCGACAAGCUUGCCGGGGAACAUCAAGCUCCGGCAGGGCCGCAAGUCCUUGCCGUAGAAGCGGAUGUUCCCGCAACAGCAGAUGUGCCUUUAGUCCUUGUUGUCGAGCCACGAGCUCCAGCAUGGGCACAACAGAUUGUCCAUUUCCUUCAGACAGGAGAACUUCCCGAAGAGCAAAAAGAAGCGGAAAAAGUAGCCCGGCAGUCAAGUAUGUAUCAGUUUGUCGAUAGCAUACUGUACAGAAGAGGACUCAACGGUGUAAAUUUAAGUGUAUUUGCUGGGAAGACGGACAAAAGCACUUGUCGGCAAAGCUUUCCGGCAAGGUUUCUUUUGGCCGACAGCCCUCCAGGAUGCAACUGCACAAGUAACCAAGUGUGAAGCGUGCCAGUUCCACUCCAAACAGAUACACCAGCCAGCUCAAGCUCUCCAGACGAUCCCUUUAUCCUGGCCAUUUUCGGUCUGGGGGCUCGAUAUCCUCGGCCCCUUCCCCCGAGCUGUCGGGGGCUUUGAGUACUUGUACAUCGCAAUCGACAAGUUCACAAAGUGGCCGGAAGUGCAGCCAGUGAGGAAGGUGACAGCACAGUCAGCAGUCAAGUUCUUCAGGUCAAUUGUUUGCCGUUUCGGGAUCCCUAACAGGAUCAAUACCGACAAUGGCACGCAAUUCACGAGCCGCACCUUCAUGCAGUACGUCCAAGACCUUGGCGCCAAGGUCUGCUUCGCUUCUGUUGCUCAUCCGAGAAGCAACGGUCAAGCAGAGAGGGCAAAUGCUGAAGUGCUACGCGGGCUCAAGACCAGAACUUUCGACAGGCUGCGUAAGUGCGGAAGAAACUGGAUCGAGGAGCUGCUGGUGGUUCUUUGGUCGAUCAGAACGACACCAAAUCGAGCCACUGGCCAGACACCUUUCGCUCUAGUCUAUGGAGCAGAGGCAGUUCUCCCCACGGAACUCGUAUACGGAUCGCCUCGAGUGCUCGUUUAUGAUGAGCUUGAGCAAGAACAGCUGCGACAAGAUGACACACUGCUCCUCGAGGAAGAUCGUCUUCAGGCUGCUGUACGAGCUGCUCGAUACCAGCAAGCUUUGCGCCGCUAUCAUAGCCGCAAAGUUAAAGCCAGAAGCUUCGAGGAAGGCGACCUUGUUCUUCGGCGCGUUCAGUCCGCCAAGAAUUCCAACAAGUUGACGCCGAAGUGGGAAGGCCCUUAUCGGGUAAAACGAGUCACAAGGCUCGGCGCUAUCCGCCUUGAGACCGAAGAUGGCAUUCCAGUGAGCAACUCCUGGAACAUAGAACAUCUUCGUAAGUUUUUCCCGUAGGGCGCGGUUGCCGGAACCCGUUCCGGCAACCACCUUUUGUACAAGUCUUGCUGCUGUUGCAUGUAAUCCUUUGUACAAAGCCGGGCGCAGAUCCCGUGCAUAAGUAAAACCCCAUGUGCUCCGCACAACUUGUCCAUUUCAUGCAUUAGUUUCUUUCUCGCAUGUGUAAUCUGACACUUUGUGCAGCACCUACAUCCGGUAAGCAAUAACGAGCCGAAGGGCUCCAUAUUAUUAUUUUCUCUUCUUUCUUCUUUUCAACAAAGGAAAAGAAGGUUCCUUCGCACACAAGUUUACCGGGGGGAAGGAGAAGACUAUGGUAUGGACCAGGCGUCGUUCAAGCAAAAUUUUGCCUUGCCGGGAAGCAAACGACAGAAAAGCUAAGUUGCCAAAGUUUGAGCAAUCACUUUUUAAAUUUUUGAGUUAUCUUCCUCGAACGACCCUGCUUUGUAUGGAAAACCUGUGUGCGGAGGAACCAACUCGUGGCUAGUUGCGCCCUUACUUUGUUUCGAGUCCGCUCAACAACUUAAGUGUGCUGCAUCUAGUCGCGACAAAGUUUCUUGUCGAAAGCGGCGCUGCCAGCAGGCUGCUGAAGUUCCGCACUCAGCGCUCGCGGCUCGGGUGCCUGCGCCGACAAGUUCCCUAGAAGCAUAGGCUAAAAACAUACAAAGAAAGGAAUCUAGUAGAGGAAAUAACAUAGCAAUUGAUAACAGAAAUAAAAUUAUAUUACAAGAUAACUUGUCGCAGCUCUAACAGACUGUUUUCAUAACAUGAUUAGCAGCGACAAGGGAAAAGAAGAAAUGGGCGGCCUAGUCUACGCGUCCGCCCUUGACCCUCUUGAUCUCGCUCACCUUGUCCACAAUGGGUGCGACAAGGGCCUUGAGCGUGUCUUGAUCGGCGUCUGGCGGCAAGGACUUGAUGACGUUGGUGAAGCUGAGGCCUGGAUUGCGGAAGGCCACCUUCAUCAGCACCUUCUGGAGAACCCCGGCGCAGAUUUUGCGCGACUCGUCGGCCAGCUGAUUUGGGAUCCUCUCCCGGAGCCGCUGGAGUGUCGUCGCCACGCCCUUGAAGAACAGGCUGAGCUUGGCGCUGGGUUGGAGAUUCUCGUCGGAGGGAUAUCCAAAGUCCUCCAUCCCCAGCUGCGUCAGCUCCUCGUUGAUGACUGCGGCAACAUUCACCAGACCCUCGGUCCAGUGCUCCAUCGUGUCUCUGGACGAGUUCUGGGUAACUGCGAUGCUCUCCAGCAGCGCCUUGUCAGCUUUGACCUUCUCCGACAAGGUUUUCUCCCGCUCCUUGGCGGCCUCCAGCGUCUGCAUCAGCGUGGCCAGCUUCAACUCCAGGACCGCAUUGGAAUCCUUGGCGGCGCUGAGCUCCUUGCCUCUCUCAGCGAGAAGACCUUGCAGCUCACCGUGGGCGGCAGCAUCCUUCUCACGCUCACGCUUGAGCGCGGCAAUCUCCUCGCCACUCUUCCCAAUGUUGGCCUCCAGCUGCGCCACCUUCUCCUCCAGCUCUUUCUUGGCAGCCUCUGCGAUUGCCGCAGCACCCUUUGCCUCCUUGAGCGCCCCGCCAAGCGCUUGCUUGCGCUCGGCAAGCUCCUCCUCAUAGCUGUCGAGGUUGGCCUUCCGCUGCACCAAUUCGUCUUCCCGCGCAGACUGCUUCUCGGUGGCCAGCCUUUGCUCCUCCUCAGGUUCGGCCUUCUCGAGAAGGAAGGCCGUGUGCUCCUCGUCGAGUCGCUCCCGCUCCUGUGCCAGGGACCGGAGAGCCUCUUGAUUGUGGCCCCGAAGCUCCUCCGCGCGCUUCUCCAUGUCAGCUCCCGCUUUCGCGACAAGCGCUUCCCGGGAAGCCAGCUUGGCUUGCCGGGCGCGGUAGAGUGACAGCAGCUUCCGCAGCAGCUGCUCCUCCUCAGGCUCGCCACUGCUGCUGUCGGGCGCGUCAACCAACGAUAGUCUGGCGGAGGUGAGCACCUCCUCAUCAAAAGUCUCCCCCUCGACUGGCGCCCUGGAGCUCGACGCCCAGGGUAGCUUGAUGAAGAUACCGUCGCCGACCUUCAAGUAGGCGCCGGGCUGGGGCUCCUCGGAGCCCGGCUCCGCAGAAGCAGCAGAGGGAUCGGCGGUCGGUGUAGCGCCUGGCGCUCCUACGGCCUCAGGGUCGUCAGUGCGAUCGCCCGACCCCUCGCCGGCUUCUGCGGCGGCAGCCUUGGCGGCCUCCUCGCUGGCGGCCUCGUCAGCACCGGCCCCUUCCUCGCCGGCGCCCUCUGUCUCCAUUGGCUCAGCCGCAAAUGGGUCUGAAGAACGAAGAAGGGAGAAAAAUCAAUCCAAAAUCCAAGGGAAGAAAAUCAGAAGAAGAAGAACCCAAGGGAAAGUUUCUGGGCAAGUGGAUUACCUGUGCCAAGAUCUGCAGUUGCGGCCUCAGCCGCCGCAGGAUCAACGGUGCCGUCCCUUGCCGGAGAGUUCCCCCUUUCCGGAGAGCGCUCCCUUGCCGGGGACUCCUCCCUUGGCGGCGCAGUUGAAGCAGGUGGCACUUCGGGACCAGCUUCCGGGCGCUCCUGAUGUGACUGCUCUGCUCCUGCACAAAUCAACAAGCAAGAUAUCAAACAAAGGAAAAGCACUCAUGCGCGCCCGACAGCAAAAAAAAA
RNAcentral lists this long non-coding RNA (66382 nucleotides) under Triticum aestivum (bread wheat). RNAcentral describes it as "long non-coding RNA (TAES_LNC014547)". The record is from RNAcentral. Lineage: Eukaryota; Viridiplantae; Streptophyta; Magnoliopsida; Poales; Poaceae.